Molecule: long non-coding RNA, 57994 nt
Filed under: Citrus maxima (pomelo)
Lineage: Eukaryota; Viridiplantae; Streptophyta; Magnoliopsida; Sapindales; Rutaceae
Description: long non-coding RNA (CMAX_LNC003699)
Source: RNAcentral
AAAAAUCUUACAAAAGCUAUUAUACUGUAACUAAUCAGCUAGUGAAACCCGAGGGGAUAGUAACCCAUUUUCAUUGUCAAUGCCUAGCUUCAUUUUUUUUUUUUUUUCUCACUUGAUGAGUGCUUACCUUCAUUUCGAAGGUCGUGACACCAACUGAUUUUAGCAAAAGCAGAGAUACUUUGUGAUGCAGUAAGCUAACAAGUUUCUGAAAUCAACUAUGUUUUGAACCAAAUUUCGGCGACGACCAGCAGCUGAAAAGCCGGUGAUUAAAGGGCACACUAGGUGCGUAAUUCUAUCAAAUCUUAAAACUGAAGUUAGGUUUUAUUAUUUUCUUGCAUUUUGUUGAAAAUUGCUGUUAGUUAGGUGCUUUAUUCUUUGUUCCCAUUAAUUGAGAAAAAUGUUUAGGGUUUAUAGAAAUUGAAGUAGUGACCGAAUAUAUCUGAAUUGAUUUUUGAGUUGAUAGUCAUUCGAAAUGUUGUGUAAACCAUGCAAAUGAUUUAUUUUUUGAUGAUUUUGGACUGUGGGUUUUGAAUGCUCACUGAAAUUUGCUUGAUAUGUUCUUUAAAUUGAGAAAAAUCCAAGCUUCUUCUAAGAAUACAGAGGUGUUGCUGAGAAAAUGCUUAUGGUGUUGUUUUGUUUCUUUUUUUAUUUUACAAGUGGGCAGUUCAUGUAAGAUUGAGACAGUUGCUCUUGUUGCUUUUUGAUGUUUUGUAUAGACUGAUUCCAAUCACUGAUUUCUGUUGGUAAAUGGAUGCUAUUUUUUUUUUUUCCUUUCUUCACAUAAAAAUUUGUACUUCCCAACAUAAAAUUCAGAUGCUUGCCUAUUGUUUUUUGAGGUUCUCAUUAAGGUGUAAGAGAUAAAUUAAUUAUAGAGCUUGUAGGCAGUUGGUUUAUUGAAGAACCAGUACAGUUGAGAAAGUGUCUUUUGGGACAUCCAUUUUAAUACAAAGAUUAACAGAUUUAAUUACAUAAACACAAGACUUCAUUUGUUUAUCAAAGUAGUACUUCUGAUGCUUUCGUAUAAUGAAUGCCAAAGAGAUGACAUUUGCAAAAAGGCCAUUUGAAUGUACCAAUUGCUAUCCUUGUAAACCUCUAUUGUGAUUCUGUUAUCAUUAUAUGUUGUUUAAUGAUCUGAUGAUUUUGAGAUAUCAAGAUGAGUUUAUGGUAGUACAUGUUCAUUUAGCUACUUUAGGUACUAAUACAUGCAUUUAUUGUAUAAUGCCUACUUAGCAGCCAUAACUACACUCAUUGUUGAAGCUACAGCAACACAAAUGAGAAAAAACAUGCUGAGGAACAACAUUGUCUUUAUAUAAUUGCAUUUUACUCCAUUUUGUUGUGCUUUUUGCAUCAGUGACUUCAAAUCCAUCAUAUCCUUUUGCAUACUCAUCAGCAGUUCAUAAUUUGCUUGACAUGUUCCUAAACCAGCAAAUAUAACGCCUCGAUCGAUAUCAUUUGAGGAUGGCAUCCAAAACUUGAAAUAGCCACAACCAUUUUUGCUAUCCAUACAGCAAUAACAUAGCUUGUUUGGGUUGUCAUCUGAUUCCGCUACCUUCAUAGCAGCUCUUUUGUAGCAUUUACAAAUCUUGUUUGAAAAUCGAAUGAAUUUAAAAUAUUAUCAUUUAUUUUUUUUUGUAGCAUUUACUAAUCUUAUGAUAUUCAGUAUUGUUUUUAUAUAAAUUAAUUUAAAAUAUUAUCAUUUAUUUAUCUUAUUAUGUGAUUUUACACUAUCAAAUUAUUUGUUUUAAGGGGCAUUUUGGUCUUUUCAACACUCAUUUGAGUUUUGUCUUAUUAUAAGAAUAUGUAAUGUCAACAGCAAUUAUCAUAAGGGUAUAAUGGCCUUUUCACUGCUCUACAAACCCCCCCCCCCCCCCCAACCCCGCAGCCAAAAACAAUUUCGCCCCAAAUAUAAAGAUCAUCUACCGUGUCCAAUAAUUUUGGCAUUCAUUGAAAUGUGUACUGAAGGGCAUUAUUGUAUAUUCACUCAACUACCUAACGGGUGCCUAACCUUCAUACAUGGCCAGGGGGUUUAUUGUCAAUAUAUGGAUACAUUCUCUCUAAGUGUGUCAAAGCCAAACCUCAGGAGAGGUUUCUAAAAGUUUUCCUGAAUAGUUAAUAAUUUUGUACAACAGAUUCCUGGAUACCCCUCAGGUUCACUGAUUCUACGUUAUGGCUGACUUUCAAGAAAUUAAAUUCUACAUUAUGACCCCCAGUGAAACAUUGUUGCCGAUAAAAUUAUAAAAUAUAUGUGUAAUACUAGUCAAACCUAAACCUACGUCGUUUAGCAAUUUACAAAAUGAGAAAGACGACAAAAACCGGAUGUUGGACCGGCAACGAGCCAACGAGAUAAGCUCAAGUUCACUGUGUUUUUUAUGAACCCUCUGAAGACCCAAAACUCUAGGUUUGUUUUUUACGUUCCCUAACUGUUUGACUACAUUUUUAUUCUUUGCUACGUUCGUUAUGAACUGUUCAGGCUAAGUGCUCGACGAAAUUCCUAAGUGAGUGUGUAUAAUGGUUUGCUCUUGUAUUUAUUCUGUUAUAGAAGGUUUUGCUUUGGGUGGUUAAAUAGAUGAGACUAGACAUUGAACUUUAUGCACUUGUAUGUUUUCAAGUAAUUGGUUGUUCAGGCACAUGUACUUUGAAUUGCUUCAUUCAUCUUCAGAGAUAUCAUAACUUUUGUUGUUAAUUUGUCUAAAGUGAAGGCUUUUUUAACUUUUAUUUCUUUGAUUUAUUUAUUUAUUGGUGUAUCGAGGUUCUGUGUCUAAACUUUUAUUUGAUAAGUUCUUUCGGACUACUAAUUAGAAGAAAAAAGUGCUAGAGAGUGAGUAUGAGAGGGAAUGAUGUUUGGGCAAGGGGUGAUUGGUUCACUUGGCUCAUGAAGAACCCCAACUAUAAUGGCAUGUAUCAAUUUCGCAGCCUAAUUGGCAGGUAAGCUCAUUUCUUGAUUUCCUUCAUUUUUCACUUCCAUUUUACUGUUUUCAGGUAGCAGGUAAUUUAAAUAAAAGUAAAAUCAGUAGUGAUUUGCUUCAAGUGCAUGUGGAUAGUAUAUCACAUGUGAGAAGAUUGUAUUUGUUAUAUGAAAAUCCUUAAUAACUUUAAUUAAAAAAUAUAUUCUCAAACCUGAUUGUGGAAUGUACUAUUUCUUAAUAUCUGAGUUUGGAUCAACACAUUUUUUGCCAUGCAAUUUGACAAGUUGUCAUGUCCUCAUUCUGCGCUAUUAUAAGUUUUGCCAAUCUGCAUAGGUAUUUUUAUAGAUUGAGUUAAUCUAGUUUCGAGAACAUGCCUUACUAAAGGGCGUUGAGUUUCUAAGUGAAGGCAAGUGCAACUAUAAUUAUCUAUUUCAUAUCCUCCUUGUUACCUCUAAAUUCUUUCAAUAACUUGGGGACGUUAAUCCUAUUAACGACAGCCACAUAUUAUAAGUCGAGAAAACUGAUUUUUUGAUUAUUGAAAAAUUAAAUUUUUUGUAUUAUUCUAUUGUGAUCUCAGUAACCUACCUGUUGCGGUUGUCUUGUAUGGAUCAUUGUUUCUCUUUUAAGCUGUUAUAUUGACAAUUUUUAGCUCUUAUUGCAGAUCUUAAAGUCAUUGCAAGCACAUGCUCCAUUGAUCUCCAUAAAUUCGGAUACAUAUGUAUAGUUAGCUAUUCAAACAACCACACUGGUAUUCAACUUCAAUAUUCAGAAACAUGGCUGAAGUGAAGCUUCAUGGGGCAUGGGCGAGUGCAUUUUGUUACAGAGUGAUAUGGGCUCUGAAAUUGAAAGGCAUAGCAUAUGAUUACAUUGAAGAAGAUCUCUCUAACAAAAGUGCUUUGCUUUUGAAGUAUAAUCCAGUUCACAAGAAGGUCCCAGUGCUUGUUCAUGACAAAAAAUCCGUUUGCGAGUCCAUUGUUAUCCUUGAAUACAUUGAAGAGAUGUGGCCACACAAUCCCUCCUUGAUGCCAAGUGAUCCUUAUGAUGGAGCUCUGGCUCAUUUCUGGAUUAAAUUUGCCGAAGACAGGGUUCGCUUCAGAACUCUAGCUAAUGCGUUUAUAAGUUCAUUAUUUUCAUGUUUAUUUGUUAUUAGAGAAAAUGAUCAGUCCUCCAUUGUAUGUCAAAAUUAAUCAUUUCUUCUUUUAUGUUUUAAAACCUAUCAAAAUCUCCAUUGUUGUUCAAAAAAUUCUGUUGACUUUCAACUUUUUGUGUCUUUUACUAAUUUACCUCUGGAAAAAUUUUUAUUAUUAAGAAGUUGAAAGUUUAUUAGAAUUUUUUUAAUGGCAGGGGAAAUUUUGAUGGCUUUUGAAAUAUGAGGGAGAAAGGAAUUGAUUUACCAAAACAGCAUUGGGGUUUUGUUGUUCAUUUCCCCUGUCAUUUGAUGUAGUGGUUAACCUUUGGUAUAAGGAUGCUUGACAAGGGUAUUUAGGUCCAAGUCUUUUAGCUCAUACGUAUUAUUAAUCAUGUGGUGAUAUUUUGGCAGGGAGCUACUGUUUGGAAAAAGUUUUGUAGCGUACAAGAUCAAGAGAGUACAAUGAAAGAAAUCUUGGAAAUGCUAAAAACCGUUGAAGAACAUGGCUUAGGAGAGAAGAAAUUUUUUCAUGGAGACAUUGGCUUAGUGGACAUAGCAUUUGCUUCUAUUGUUUAUUGGUUGCAAAUAAUUGAAGAUGUAGCAAGAGUGUAACUAUUUGAAUCUCACAAAUUCACUAGCUUACACGUUUAGUUUGAAAAUUUUAAACGAGUCCGAGAAAUUGAAGAGAACCUUCCUAAUCGGGAUGAACUGUUGGGUUUUUUCAAACGUAGCCGUGAAAAGUUGGUGGCCUCAUCCUCAUUGCAUUAGCACAAAAUUUGAUCAUGCAAUUGUAUUGUUGUCAAGAGGCCGCGCUUUGCUUAGUUUUCUAUUGUCUUUUGUGCUCAAUUGGGAGGCCGCCGGUUUGCUGGGUGCUUUCAUAUGGAUUUGAGUUAUAAAAGGGACUUGACUUUAUAUUUAUGAAUUAUUGCAUGUAUUUCGUUAAUUAUUAAUGGACUAAUAGCGGUUAUGUAUUGUUUGGAAGGAAGUUUGAAUGCUAAGAUGUACUAAUGACUUAAUGACGUGUGGCAAAAAAAUCAGUUAAGUAAAGUCAACUUGAUUGAACGAAUGAUAAUAUAGCUCUCAAAAGUUAGAAGAUAAGCUCCCUAUGGAAAAAGAUAGUUUUGGUAAUAUGUCUAACAUUAAGGGGUAUUAUCGAAACUUAAAUUUUAAUGGUUAGACCCAGUAUGUGAACAGUGUGCCAUUAUUUUUAGGGUUAUAUUUUGCUAAGAAUAACAAGCCAAUAGAACUUUAGAGACUUUUUUCUAGAUCUAAUUUCUUGAGAGACUUCUUCAUCUUCUUCAUCCUCUAUUUUUAGGGUUUCUUUCUCCAUUUUAACACCACCAUAGAAAAUCUUAACCAUCUUAUCCCCCAAAGAAACCUCUUCCCUUACUCUUAUCUUGGAAAACUCUCUAAUCUCUAUGAGACUCAUAUCUCUCCCAUGUCAUUAUUCCUCAGAAACAAUCUUUAAUAAGAUUUUGUCAAUAUUACAAUGCAAAUUAUGUAAUACUUCAUUUAUAUAGUGGAUUGGAUAUGAAUUACUCUUAUGGAUGUAGAUCAAAGGGCCAACCACCUAAAAUCUUGUGUGUUCUUUAUUGUUUAUGCUUAUUUUCUAUUUAUUAGGAUGAUGAUAAUGCUCAGAUCGUAUUUCAUAUAUGAGCUCACUAGAGGCAUACCACGAGCUCUAUUGAGUUCCCCAAAUAAGCUCUCUAGUUAAAGCUAUCCUUAAAUAUGCUAGAGCUACUCCCUAAACUCUCUUGAGCUCCGCAAAUCAACUAUUUAAACUAAAUCCCAUGAGCUACACAAAGCUUACCUCCCAACAGCAAAAUACCAAGCUUACCUCAAUUCAUCUUCCAGAUCACCUCAGUUAUUUCUUUUAUCCCUAACAGUAGAAAAACACACUUAGAUUUUUACUAGCUCAAUCUCACCUCAAAUAUAAAUUUAAUUAUUUAAAUUGUCUUUGACCUAGAUCUAGUGAGGACAAUGAUUCAAAUCAGAUCCUAGAGGAAAUCCGGUCAAAACAUGUAUCUAUGUAUAAUAUUGAACAUCAUCCUAACGAUCAAUCCGAAUGCACUUGGAUUUGUUCUUAAUAGUACACAAAAGUGGAAAAAGCAUAGCAAGCAACACUUGCACACACGAGGCUCAAUACAAGUACGAACGUCACAAUUCCAAGCAACAAACAAUGAUCAUCAGUACUAAUUUUUUCUGCAAGCCACCAAAUUGGAAAAUACCGCCAAGUAAUUAAUUAACCACUCUGACUUGCCAGCUUAAGCUUAUCCAAUGCUGAGAGUUCAUUAUUCUUCAAGGAUUGGUUAUUGUAAAUGUCUUUUAGAGUAAUUUCAGGAUAGAGCGGAGGAUUUACUUCUGAUAGCAACUCUUUAAUUGGACCAUAUCGUCUCGAGCAACUAUUAUUCAUGAAAAAACUUCCGAUUGAAAUUCUGGAGCCUUCCUUAUUUGAUAACACUCUAUGAUAGGCACUCUUGAACUUAUCGUUGGUAAUCAGCUGCAUGAACACAAACAUGUUGGUAAUCAGCUGCAUAAACACACACUUCAUAUAAACGACAAUUAAGUUAUCUGAUAGAGAUUCAUGCUCAGGUGUAGACGUUCACAUGAAAUUUCGUGAGGACGAUUCUUUCACAGUAUUGUGAAAGUGUGUGUCCGUACAAGAUUUAGUGCGAAUGUCGCACCAGAGAAUUUUCAAUUCGAUGGAUAGUAUUUCUUAAUAAGUUAUCUAACACACACUUGCCUGCAUCAUGUAGCCUAAGUUUACAACUAGAGCUCCCGGAACAGGGGCAAUGUCAAACCACUGAUCUUCGUGAAAGACUUGGAGGCCACCAAUUUGAUCUUGUAUGAGCACAGUGACAAAUCCAGGGUCAGAAUGUGUUGCUAUGCCGAUGGACAAUUCUGGUUGAGGGCAUUCAGGGUAGUAACUAUUCCCAAUAGUCAUUUCCUCUACACAACCUAUGUUUUCCACAUUAGGUUGUUGUAUGUGAUCAUUAUCUCUCUGCAAAUUAAUAAAGACAAAAAAUAAUCACUACUAAAAGAAAGGGAGAAUGACAUUUCGACUUUUAGAAAUUGUUUUUUUAUUGGGUUAACAUCUAGAUGAAAUGAGAGUAAUAAAAACUUAUUAGGAACCCAAGUGAUGCAAAAAGUUCUAAGAAAGAGGCAGGUGUUAUCCACUGUAAAAGAAAUACAAUCUAUUGGUCAUCGUCCACAUACCUGCAAGCUUCAGGCAAAUCUUCAGGAUUUGAAAAAUCGCGACCCAUAACACAACUCAAAGUAUCUUUCCAAAAGAGAGUUGGUGCACUAUACAAAUUUAAAUUUGAACAAUAUUUAAUUUUUUUGGAGUAAUCACGAGAAUAAUAUUUCUGCUUAACCUCAACAUCUUGUUCAAAAAACCUACGGAUCCCAUCAAUGGCUUGAUCCAAAAUGCUUGUUGGGAUUCCAUGAUUGAUCACUUGAAAGAAACCCCACGCCUCACAAGCACUUCUAAUUUGGUCAAUUACCUGAGAACGCAAGCUUGAAUCCUUGUUUAUUCUUUGAAGGUCUAUGAUUGGGAUGCUGAUUUUGGGGUCCCUGCAGAUUGGCUUAUCAUCAAACUUAUAUUUAGUGUGAUGAUCUUGAAUGAAGAUCUGUGGAAUGGUUGUGAUCCCAGCAUCUACGAGUCCCUUAACACCAGCUUUCGUGUCAUCAAAAGCUUUCAACUCGCUAACUCUGUCACAAGUAAUGCUUCCCAUUGCUUGGUGAAUUAUCUAUUACUCGGUGAAUUAUGAAGUACAAGUGCUGACUUGCUGAUGAUUGCUUUUGGGAGAUACCAUUUAUAUGAUUGCUAGCUUGCCACGUGCAACAUGUUGACAUAUAACGUCACCACGAUGAUAUGGAAAUUUGUAAAUUUGAUUCUGCAUUAUUUAUCAUGAUUAAAUUAAUUAUAAAUUAUCAAUAACAGUCAAUUCCGGGGAUCACCAACCAGUGGGUGGCACAGCACAAUAAUAGACUGGGCUGUGGCUUUGUUUUAUGUGGACAAAAUUUCAAUUAGCUACAGGAUAUUGCUGCUUGAUAGUUAACGUUUCACCUUCUCCAUUUGGACAUACUAUUAUGGAUUUACAGUGUUGCUUAAAAGCUAGAUCUUAAAUGAAAAGAAAGCUUUAAUGGUGAAAUAAAUAUUAAAAAAAAUGAUAAAGAGACUAAAUGUCAACAAAAAUAAUGGUAAAAUAAACCUGUUUUAUCAUGUUAAUAAUAGUGGUAUAUAUUUAACUUUAAUAAAUUUGGCCAUUUCGAUUUUUAAUUUGGCACCUUCCCUGCUCAGUCAAGAAAAAGAAUACUAUAAAAAUUAAAAUAGAAAAUUUGGUAAGGACAUAUCUGCAGAGAUGUUAUAUAUCAAAGCAAUGUCAAAGUUAUAAUACUUCCCUUAUUAAUGAGAAGAGCACUAGCAUAUACAAGAUCGACAAUCACUUAAAUCAAAGCAAUGUCAAAGUUAUAAUACAUGGGAUCUAAUGCGUACAAGCAAUGGUUUCUGGUCACAGCAGCUUUAGGCUUUCAGCUACAGUAUAAAGUGAAACUGUCGCUUGAAAAUAAAAUUCAUGUUCAGCAGCCUCAUUUUAGAUGGCAUCGGCAUCUGUAGUAUCGUUUGUCUGUAGUCCCUCAUUAUCUACAAUCUGAUCGCUCCCUAUAGUAUUGUUUGUCUGUAGUCCCUCAUUAUCUACGAUCUGAUCGCUCCCUAUAGUAUUGUUGGUCUGUAGUCCCUCAUUAUCUACGCUCUGAUCGCUCCCUAUGUAGAGAAUCGACAACAGCAAAUUGUAGCACACGUUCACAGCACUAAUAACUGUUAAACUCUUAUAGUACUUGUCAAGCCUACUAUCACCCAAGGUUUCGCCAAACUCGCCUUUGUUUGCCAAAAUGCAAAAGAUGUUAAAAAUGCCUCCAAUUCCGACGAAAAAAUAACUUGUUGCUGAUACAUGGUACUCCGUCCGUUCAGGAAAAUGAGAGCUCGAGUAUUCAUCACAACCAUGCCAAGCAAGCCCUUCCAUAAGCCCCAAUAGACAGAAUUGUGGAACAAGCCAAAACAUGCUCAUAUGGGGUUUGUGUUGACAAUUCAAACAUUUAUCUCGCCCUUCCAACCUGCGAACCUCAACCUGCCAUGCCACUAUACAGCACACUGUAGACAUCACCAUUCCAAUGAAUGUUCUCAAUACUUGAGCUUGUCUCUGCUUAGUUUCCAGAGCAAUUUUGGAAAUUAAUUUUUUCAACAGAUAAGAGAUCGUCGCACAAAUUAUGGCUUCAAAAGUUAGAAGAAAGAUUAAGAAUCUUUCAGAAAUCAUGUUAGCUCCCUGCACAGGAAAUAAUGUAUUUCCUGCAGAUAGAACCAAUCCAAACACAAUGAAGCUAGACCACAAUGGCAGCAAUUUAAGAAGAGACUUUGAGUCCCUGACCUGGGCCACAGUGCAAAGUGUGCCUGCCUCUUCUUGUUCUCUAGAAGUACUUGAUGUCUCUAUAAUUGCCGCUUUGUCUAUCCAUCUGCAAUUCAAACAAUUAAUUUAUUGGUAAUUCUUUUUAGGAAAAUAGAAAGCGACAGCUCAUGGUUUGGUAGAAUGAUCACACAAACUCUUUUAUAAAUACACCCUUUUGGACAAAUCUUGGAGCAGAGUGACCAUUUCUAAACACAAAACGAUAUCAGUGUGUCCAUAAAGAGGUCGAUGUAAUUAUUACUAAAAAUAAGUGGGUCUCCCCGACAAUUUUGCCAGACCACGGCCGGCUGUGGGUGUAUACAUGUUAGGUAUAUACCUGAGCAAUUUGAUUCUGGGUGACAAGUGUAGUACGUUUCCCUCAUCAUUACUGAAGAACUGCUCCGGAGAAAGAGGAUAAUUGAGAUGCUUUUUCUUCAGGGAGGUUUUAACAACACGGAUUAUAGCAAAACGGUCAACAGGAGGUAUUUUUGUACUAUGAUAGAAAGGAAUACCCAACAGCAGGAGGAUCAAACUGCCCCCCAUAAACAACAAUGUGAACAUGAAAGUCUUCUUCCAUGUCUUAAUAUUAUUUGCAUAGAAUGCCGCAGCUACACCACAGCACCAGGCAAGCCGCCACCACACUCUUUUCUGAGCCAUUACUUGAUUCUCAUCUGGAUUGACUGUUCUCCCUCCAGCACCAUGUGCUCUUAAUUGAUCGGCAAGAAAUGGUCCCAAGAGAGGCGCCACUCCAACUUUACCCACUGCUAACAGGAUAAUUCCUAUCACGUUGAGCAGCUCAAAGUUGGUUUCCGAAAAUUCUCUCGCUGUAUAGAACAAUAGCCCCAAUGCCUGCAGUAAACAUUGUUGGAACUAAUUGUACAGCAUAACAUUAUGAUCCUAAAAUUGCUUUUCUUAAUCAUUAUUAUAAUCAGGAGUGGAGCCAAAAUGAACAAAUGCCGCAUCAAUUAUAACUUAACUAUUGGGAUCUCUAUCAUUAUUUUUAUACGGGAAUGUCCUCUUAUUACUUUUUUUUUCUACAUGCUGUGAAAUUUAACAUAUACUGCAAAAUAAUAAUUUUUAAAUUUAGCUUAAAGUAUUACAAAGUCCUGGGUCCGCCCCCGGAUAUAUUUCUUGCAGAUGAUAGACAUAUGUUUUAAUUUUUCCUCUGUUUGGAAGUUUAGCAAAUUAAAAACAUAUUAACUUACAAGGACGUAGGAGGCAGUUGAAAAUAUGAGGAUUCUGAGAGGAUGGCUGGUAUAACAGGAAAUCCAGGCGGCAACAACCGCAAGAGUUGCUGAUAUUCCAUCCUGAAUACUCGUAAAUAUUGCAGCUUUCUGAAGAGUGGAUACUUUUGAAAAUUCGGCGUCGGAGAAGUAAGUUAUCAAGACGCCCUCUACAGCCAAGUCUACCAGUUUGUGGCUUAUCAACAAACCUGGAAUCAAAAUAUAAUCAUUAGAAGAAAUGUUCGUGCUCACUGAAAAAAAGCAUACACAUGAAAACUACAAGAACAACAUAAGAACUGUUGCCAUGUUUUUAUAAUUUAGCCCAACCUAAUCAAAGAUCUUAAGACAUUGUUGUUAAAGUGAGGAUAUUAAUAAAAUACAAAAAAAAAAUUAGUUUUCAAUUCUAAAUAAAUACAUUUUUAAAAGAUAUGAUUACCUGACAUAAAUGCAGCAGACUUACAAAAACAGACGUAAUAUCGUACCCAAGUUAUGAACAUGUUUUGAAGCUUCAACAACUGAGAAAAUGGAAACAUUGUAGUUUCUGAAACUGCUUCUUUUAUCUGCAAAUACUUGUGAGCUGUGAAUCCUGAGACGAUGAAGAUUUUGUAAGUAUACCAAAGUCUUCGCUAGUCUUCUAAAAAGUAGACCACCUAUCUGGUCACAUAAUAAUGAAUUACUGUACAGCUCAAUAAUUUUAGGUGGUAUGAAACACGUUUGAUGAGACGGUAAUAAUUAAACUGUACCAUGAAUGAUCCUCAUUGAGUAUAUAAUCCGUUUCUUUUUUCAAACAAGAUUUAUGCUUUAAUUUUGGGAGGUUUGCUAAGUUCUUUCUUUUUUGUAAUGGUUACGGAGACUGACAGUUUUCUAUUGAAGUUAUUUAUACAUGUAUUUAUUUUUCAACUUAUAUGUAAUACAUUUUGGAAAUGAGUAAUGGUACAGUACAAAUACUUUUAGACAAAAAAUGAUGUACAGAUUUAUGUAUGGUACAGUACAAAUACUUUUAGACAAAAAAUGAUGUACAGAUUUAUGUAAUUUUGAAAAAAAGAUACUUUCAUCCUUAUGAUUUGGGAAAAAUUUAUCUAGAAUUUAAGUUUUCAGUAAGGGACACUAAAAUUUAUUUUGAUUAUAAUAUUCUCAAUAGAUAGCAACUAAAAUUAUCGACUUCAAUUUUUUUAAUAAAUAUAAGUAUAAUUUAAAUAGUUUUAUUUGUCCGGUCGACCAAUAAUAUUAGAAUGUUUCUUAAUAUAUAAAAUAAUUUUUAAAAUGUAAAAUAUUAUAUUUAUUUCUUUAAUAUAUUUUAUUUAUUAUAAAAUUUUUAAAUAAAUCUAUAGGCUAAACAGAUUUACGUUUAAUAAAAUACAUCUCAUGUACUAAUAGAAUUAAAAUUAUUUUAUAUAAUAUUGAAAAUAAUUUAAAUUUGAAAUUUUUAUUUUAAAAUUAUGUUUUGAUUUAUUCUGAAAUUUAGUUUAAUAUAAUUUAAUAUUGUAAAGUAUUAAAAUAUUUUAAAAUUAUUAAAAUAUUUUAAAAUUAUUAAAAUUAUUUUAAAAUGUAUAUAUUGUUACAUUUAUUUGAAUAUUACACUUCUAUUUAUUAUAAAACAUUGAAAAGAAAAUUUUAGUCAAAAGAGAGUUUUAGUUGCCCUUACUAAAAAAUGGAGUACAUAACCAUUUCUUUAAACUUUAAGAAGUGUACAUAUUGUUUUUCCUAUUUUUUUUUUAUAAUCACUUGAGUUAAAAGAAUCAUGUGGCCCAAAUAAAUUAUUUUUAUUUAUAUUUUCGAUCAGCAGAUAAUAUGUCAUACCGGUUUGUAUAAGUGUUUAUGAACAGGAAAAAGCGAGGUCAGGCACUAGACGGGUUGGCGAUCAAGCCCUCCAACCCAUGUAUAGUGCUAGUUGGGUAAGUUGGACUUUUCUCAAAGACCCAUUUUCUGUCUUUGAAAUAUUAGUAUGAAAUUAAAAAAAUUAAAAAAAAAUUUAAUUGAAACAACUAAAAACAGAAUACAAAAUUACAAAUAAUAACUAUCCCUCUGACUUCAUUGUUCAUAAUAUAUAUAUAUAUAUAUAUAUAUAUAUAUAUAUAUAUAGGAGGCUGUUCCAAUCCGGAAUUCCGGAUUGGAACAAUAUACGGGAUAUUAAGAGUUGGGUUGAAAAUUUUCAACAUCAAACAAAUACAGUUGGUUUUCUCCACCCCUAAGAAAUUAGGAGCUGGCUUUUUACUUGAUUUUAAGUAGAGAAAAUGAUCAAAACGACCUUAUUGUUUGUUAAAUUUAAUCAUUUCUCUUUUAUAUUUCAAAAUCAAUUAAGAAACCUUUAUAUAUAUAUAUAUAUAUAUAUAUUGAACAUAUGGCAUCUUUCACUAUCUUAUCCCCAUAAAUUUUUUAAUCGAUCAACAGUGGGUAAAAUAGUGAAAGCUGCAAUAAGUUGAAAGCAAAUAAUUUUCAUCCCUAGAAUUUUUCCACCAAAUCAUGGUAAAAGAAUAAAAAUCGCAAUUUUUAUAACAAGGCAGCAAAAUAAGAUGAUUUAGAUGGCAUCGGCAUCUGGAGUAUUGUUGGUCUGUAGUCCCUCAUUAUCUACGCUCUGAUCGCUCCCUAUGUAGUGAAUCGACAACAGCAAAUUGUAGCACACGUUCACAGCACUAAUAACUGUUAAACUCUUAUAGUACUUGUCAAGCCUACUAUCACCCAAGGUUUCGCCAAACUCGCUUUGUUUGCCAAAAUGAAAAAGAUGUUAAAAAUGCUUCCUAUUCCGACGAAAAAAUAACUUAUUGCUGAUACAUGGUACUCCAUCCGUUCAGGAAAAUGAGAGCUCGAGUAUUCAUCACAUCCAUGCCAAGCAAGACCUUCCAUUAGACCUAAUAGACAGAAUUGUGGAACAAGCCAAAACAUGCUCAUAUUUUCCAAUUGUUUGAGCUUUUCCAAUCUGCGAGCCUCAACCUGCCAUGCCAUUACACAGCAAACUGUAGUCAUCACCAUUCCAAUGAAUGUUCUCAACACUUGAGCUUGUCUCUUUUUAGUUUUUGGAACAAAAUUGGAAAUUAAUUUUUUUGACAGAUAAGAGAUCGUUGCACGAAUUAUCCCUUUAAAAGUUCGUAGAAAGAUUAAGUAACUUUCAGAAAUCAUGUUGGCUCCCUGCUUAGGAAAAAAUGUAUUUCCUGCUGACAGAACCAAUCCAAACACAAUGAAGCUAGACCACAAUGGCAACAAUUUAAGAAGAGAUUUUGACUCCCUGAUCUGGGCCACAGUGCAAAGUGUGCCUGCCUCUUCUUGUUCUUUAGACGUACUUGAUGUCUCUAUAAUUGCCUCUUUGUCUAUCCAUCUGCAAUUCAAAGAAUUAAUUUAUUGGUAAUUUUUUAGGACAAUAGAAAGCGACAGCUCAUGGUUUGGCAAAAUGAUCACACAGACGCUUUUAUAAAUACGCCCUUUUGAACAAAUCUUGGAGGUCCGUGUGACUAUUCCUGAACACAAAAGGGUAUUAAUGUGUCCAUAAAGAGGUGUAUAUAAUUAUUAAUAAAAAUAAGAGGGUCUCCCCGACAAUUUUGCCAGACCACGGCCGGCUGUGGGUGUAUACAUGUUAGGCAUAUACCUGAGUAAUUUGAUUCUGGGUGACAAGUGUAAUACGUUUCCCUCAUCAUUACUGAAGAACAGCUCCGGAGAAAGAGGAUAAUUGAGAUGCUUUUUCUUCAGGGAGGUUUUAACAACGCGGAUUAUAGCAAAACGGUCAAUAGGAGGUAUUUGUCUACUAUGAUAAAAGGGAAUACCCAACAACAGGAGGAUCAAACUGCCCCCCAUAAACAACAAUGUGAACAUGAAAGUCUUCUUCCAUGUCUUAAUAUUAUUUGCAUAGAAUGCCGCAGCUGCACCACAGCACCAGGGAAACCGCCACCACACUCUUUUCUGAGCCAUUACCUGAUCGUCAUUGGAAUUUUCUGUUCUCCCUCCUUCACCAUGUUCUCUUAAUUGAUCGGCAGGAAAUGGUCCCAAAAGAGGCGCCGCUCCAACUUCACCCACUGCUAACAGGAUAAUUCCUAUAUGUUGAGUAGCUCAAAGUUGGUUUCUGAAAAUUCUCGGGACGCUGUAUAGAACAAUAGCCCCAAUGCCUGAAACAAAAAUUGUUGGAACUAAUUGUAUAGCAUAACAUUAUGAUCCUAGAAAUGCUUUUCUUAAUCAUUAUUAUAAUCAGGAGUGGAACCAAAAUAAAUUAGUGUCACAUCAAUUGUAACUUAACUAUUGAGAUCUCUAGCAUUAUUUUUAUAGGGGUAAGGCUCCUAAUAUCCUCUUAUUAAGUAUAUAUAUAUUUUUUACAUGCUGUGAAAUUUAACAUUUACUGCAAAAUAAUAAUUUUUUAAUUUAACCCAAAGUACUACAAAGUCCUGGGUCUGCCCCUGAAUAUAUGUAUUGCUUGCAAUGGUAGACAUAUGUUUUGAUUUCGUCUCUGUUUGGAAAUUUAGCAAAUUCAAAACAUAUUAACUUACAAGGAUGUAGGAGACAGUUGAAAAAAAUGAGGAUUCUGAGAGGACGAAUGGCAUAACACGAAAUCCAGGCGGCAACAACCGUAAGAGUUGCUAAUAUUACAUCCUGAAUAAUCGUAAAUAUUGCAGCUUUCUGAAGUGUGAAUACUUCUGAAUAUUCGGAGUCGGAGAAGUAAGUUAUCAAGACGCCCACUAUAGCCAAGUCUACCAGUUUGCGGCUUAUCAACAAACUUGGAAUCAAAAUAAUCAUUAGAAAAAAUGUUCGUGCUCACUAAAAAAAGCAUACACAUGAAGACUGCAAGAACACGUGAGGGAACUGUUGCCAUGUUUUUAUAAUUUAGCCCAACCUAAUCAAAGAUCUUAAGUACACCUCUCUUAACUGAAAUUAAUCGAGGGGAUUAUCUAUUUAGGAAUCUCAAAGUUCAUGAGCUCUUAAUACACACACAGUAUAUACAUACAUACAUCAUCAUGUUGUUAAAGUAAUGAUGUUAGUAAAAUACAAAAAGAAUAUACGUGCAUGCUAUUAAAUUGUAUGAUUUAAUAAAAUGAGUACAGAUAACUAAAUUACAUGAUUUUAUAGUAUUGAAAAUUAAUUCUAUUAAAUCAUACAAUUUAAUAGUGUGUCUAUAUUAAAAAAAUAAAUAAAGACCCCAUAUAUAUGUAUACAAGUUUAUAUUCUAAAUAAAUACAUUUUUAAAAGAUAUGAUUACCUAAGGCCCCACGUGCAAAAUUACCUGACAUAAAUGCAGCAGCCUUACAAAAACAGACGUAAUAUCGUACCCAAGUUUUGAACCUGUUUUGAAGCUUCAACAACUGAGAAAAUGGAAACAUUGUAGUUUCUGAAACUGCUUCUUUUAUCUGAAAAUACUUCUACUUGUGAGCUGUGAAUCCCGAGACGAUGAAGAUUUUGUAAUUAUACCAAAGUCUUCGCUAGUCUUCUAAAAAGUUAGUUUAUUCAAAUUAAAAAAUAAUAAGUCGCACUUCAAGACCAGCUAUUGGUCACAUAAGUCAAAAUAAUGACUUACUGUACAGCUCAAUAAUUUUAGGUGGUAUGAAACACGUUUGAUGAGACGGUCAUAAUUAGACUGUACCAUGAAUGAUCCUUAUUGAGUAUAUAACCCCUUUCUUUUUUCAAACAAGAUUUAUGCUUUAAUUUUGGGAGGUUUGCUAAGUUCUUUCUUUUUGUAAUGGUUAAGGAGACUGACAAUUUUCUAUUGAAGUUAUUUAUACAUGUAUUUCACUUUUAGAUAAAUAAUGUUGUACAAACUAAUGUGAUAUUUUUUAGAAAAAAGUAUAUGUAUAUCCUUAAGAUUUUAAAAAAUGGUCAUAUACAUUCUGAAUUUUUAAUAAGGGACACCAAAACACUUUUUUACUAUAGUAUCCUUAAUAGAUAGUAACAAAAAAUAUUGACUAAAUAUUUUAAUAAAUAUAAAUAAAAUUUAAAUAGUUUAAUUUGUCUAGUAGACUAAUAAUAUUAGAAUGUUUCUUAAUAUAUAAAAUAAUUUUUAAAAUAUAAAUUAUUAUAUUUAUUUUAAUAAUAUAUUUUUACUUAUUAUAAAAAUUUUAAAUAAAUCUUUAGGUUAGAUUUUAAAUUUAAUAAAAUACAUGUCAUGUACUAAUAAUAUUAAAAUUAUUUUAUAUAAUAUUGAAAAUAAUUUAAAUUUUUAAAAUUUUAUUUUAAUAUUAUAUUUCAAUUUAUUUUGAAAUUUAGUUUAAUAUAAUUUAAUAUUGUAAAGUAUUAAAAUAUUUUAAAAAUAUUGAAAUUAUUUUAAAAUGUAUAUAUUGUUACAUAUAUUUUAAUAUUAUACUUCUAUUUAUUAUAAAAUAUUAAAAAUAAUAUUUUAGUCAAAAGGGAGUUUUAGGUGUCUCUUAUUGAAAAAAUGGAACGUACAUAACCAUUUUUUCUAAUUUUUAAGGGUGUACAAGUCAUUUUUCCUACUUUUUUAUAAUCAGUUGAAUUAAAAAAAGUCAUGUGGCCACAUAUAGUAUUUCUUACUUAUAUUUUCAAUCAGCAAAUCAUAUUGUGUCAUAUCUGUUUGUAUACGCAUUUAUGAACAUAAAAAAGUAAGGUUAGGCACUAGUCGGGUUGGAAAUCAACCCAUCCAACCCAUGCAUAGUGCUAAUUGGGUGAGUUGGACUUAUCUCGAGACCCAUUUUCUGUCUUUGAAAUAUCAAUAAGAAAUUAAAAUAAUUAAAAAAUAAUUUAAUAGAAACAACUAAAAAUAGAAUACAAAAUUACAAAUAAUAACUAUCCCUCAAACUUCAUUGUUAAUAAAAAAAAUUAUUUGUAUAGGAUACUAAUCACACCAUAAAAAGUAAUAGGGUGAAUUCAAGAGUUGGGUUUGAAAAUUUUCAACACCUAGGAAAUAUAGUGCAUUUUCUCCACCCCUAAGAAAUUAGGGGUUGGCUUUCUACUUGAUUUUAAGUUGAGAAAAUGAUCAAAACUACCUUAUUGUUUGUUAAAAUUAUAGGUUGAAUUUAAGAGUUGGGUUUGAAAGAUGCAAUGUGUUCAUAUAUAUGGAAUGUGCUUUCUUUAGCACUUAGCCGAAAGCUUCAAAUUUCCAUUAAUAAGACGGUUAAUGAUGAAUUCAAAGAGCCAAUAAGAUUUCAACAAAAUACAUUUUUUCAACUUUGUGUGCAAAUUAAUUACGUCUGUAUUUGGAUGGUUAAUAUAAACUAGUCAUAUAAUUAACCACGCAUUAAUUAAUCAAAUUUUUAUUAUUUAAUAUCUUUGCAUCAGAUGAUCAUUGAUCAAUUAACAAGAUAUUUUCCUUUUGUGCAUGUAUCCACAUUGGACGUCAAUAUAGUAAUUUGUUAUGAAAAAAAAUUCAAUCAAAAUUAUUUUUAAUAUUUUUAAUUUUCUAUCUAACUUAGUGCUUGUUUAGUAUAAAAUAUCUAACGCCCAGCAGUAGGAUAACUCCAACAAUUUCCCUCACACAUCGGGCCUUGGGUCAAAAGAUAAACACUCGUUCUCUUUAUUAGAUUGUUGGGCUGAGAUUGUUGAUGAAUGUGGACUCUGAUACUAGUGUUAGGUAGUCUUAAACUUCUCUCAACCCCAAAAGUAAGCUUAGGGGUGAGAUUUUCCUGACAUUUAUAAAAUCACCAAUAGCCCUUUUCACAACCCAUGUGGGACAACUUCGAUAGUUUGAUUGUAUUUUGAGUAUAACUUUUGAAGAUUAAAUAAAUUAUUUUGCUUCUAUUAGUAAAACCUUAAAAAUUAGAUUUUUGAGAGUGAUGGUCAUAGUACUUAAAGAAUAAAUUGUGUAGAAUAACGUUUUAUAUAUUUAAUGAUCUUAUUCCAUUCCUUUUAUUUUUUUGAUUUCUUUUAUUUUUUAACCUAACAAAAACCUAGUCCCUUCUCCACCCAUUUGAGUAGGGUGCGAAUCUCAGAUCUCUUGCUUUCAACCAGAUGAUACCCAUAAAUUAGAUCAAAUCCUUUUCAUAAUAUCACUUGCCGCAAUAGUAAAAUUAAACUAAGCAAAAGUACUCUUUUUAACACCAAUACAAAAACAAAACAAUCAUAAAGCGAGACACAAAAUAUUAAAAUAAAAAUCAUAAUAUUGCAUCUAUCCACAUGCCACCAACAUUUUCCAUCAACUGUUUGAAAGAGAUCCUCCAUCUCAUCCUGCUUUGGAAGCUAUUCUAAGGAGACUUGCUUGAAAAUUUUAAACCACUCGUGUGUAAGCUAGGGAAUUUUUAAGAUUCAAAUAGCUUCACUCCCUCUGUGCCUCCAUUUUGUAUAACUUUUUAAAUAGAGUUUAUUUAAAUAGGCAUUCAAUUAGUAGAGUUUUUACAAAUAGAUCUUUUACCAAAAAAAAAAAAUUGUUUAGUUCAUCAGUUGUCCAAAGAGAUUUUAUUAAAAAUUAAAAAUUAAUUUCAAUGUACAAGUUUUCUAAGUUAUGUUGUGAAAUGGAUACGAAUAAAAUAAGAAUAUAAAAUAAAUAAUGGGCAUAUUAGAUAGUUUAAUAAUUUAAAAAAGCUUUCUAAUCUCUACUCCAAAAAAUUCAAAAUUCAAAUUUUUGCUAAUAGAGUCAAUAUAAUUUAUUUAAUCCCAAAAACUAAAUUCAAAAUAAAAUAUGACCAUUAAAUAAGCUAAUACUAAACAAGCACUAUACCUUUGAAGGACUUGCAACCCAUCAAAACUCUAGGUCCACUAAGCCAAUAUUGUUCUUGUCCAGUGCUAAAAAACAUUUUUCCAAACAGCUCCACCCUGCCGCAAUAUAUAUAAAUAAUAUGGAUAAGAUCCUCUCUUUCUUUCUUUUUUUUUUCCCCCCUCUCAUAUUCUUCAACAAUGUUGAAUUAACAAGUGAUCCUAUUUUUAAUUUAAAAAAGGAGUCAUGUUUUUAUUAAUUUUCAAAUUACAUCUAUGUUUUGAUUAAUUAAAAAGGCCAGCUAAUGAGAUCAUUAAUUUGGUCAACUACUCAGAUAACCGUGCAUCAAUUAUACAAUAGGCAUUUCUUUCCCAAAAUAAUAUAUUUGCGUCAUGCAUGACGAUCACGGAUCACUUGUAUUAGAGAGCUUAGGUGCCCAGCAAGUCAAGUUGCAAGCUGCUGUCUUUGGCCAUACCUUUGAAGCACAAAUACUUCUUUUUAUUCCUGUUUGAUAGUACGGUUAAAAUCAAGGCAUCAAUCAGGAAGUUGCGCAGCAAGUCAGGUUGCCCAGCCGCUGUCUUUGACUGUACCUUUGAAGCACAAGUACUUCUUUUCAUUCUUGUUUGAUAGCACGGUUAAAAUCAAGGCAUCAAUCAGGUGGGUGCCCAGCAAGUUAGGUUGCCGAGCUGCUGUCUUUGACUAUACCUUUGAAACGCAAAUACUUCUUUUCAUUUUUGUUUGAUAGCAUGGUUAAAAUCAACGCAUCAAUCAUGUACUUAUUGUGAAUCGUUGAAGUAGAUGUACAAUGCAUAAUAAGUAAUAUUUAUUUAAAAAUUGAAGCUUCUAGAUAAUUUCGAUAUAAAUUAAGUUCAGUUUUUACUUCAUCAAGGUGAAACAUCAUAAAGCUUGUAAAUCUAACACAUGAACGUAAAAGCUUUAAAAAAAUUUGAAGUUGCUUGAUAACAUAGAAAUACAAGCAAAAAGAGAUGCUAAAGAAUACAGCCCGAAUUUUUCAUUGGGUGGGAUUAUUGAUCAUGCUAGCAUAAUGAUGAGUUGCCCGAUAAUACCCAAGACUUUCUCGAUAUUAUCAUGUAGAAGGUCAGGACCGCCCACCUACAACUGUUGUUCAGCACUCAGAGAGACUUUUCACCCAGUUCUUAUGGGGUGACUCUGAGACUGGGCAAUAGAUUAAUUGUUGUGGAUGGAUGGCAGUUUGUUAUCCAGUUGAUAAGGGAUGCCUGGGUAUACAAUCUUUUAAUGAUAUGGUUGAGGAUUUUGAGCUUAAGCUUUGGUUGUGUUUUUAGGAGCAGCUUUCAUUAUGGGCUUCUUUUAUGAAGUCUAAGUAUUGUACAGCUGCACAUCCGAGUAUGGUUUAGUUUUGAUAUCCUACCUACCCUCUUUGGAGGCACCUAUGCUUGAUUCAAUAUGUUGGUGAGCUUCAUGUGUGUUGGCUGUUUGGCCGAGGGUUGUUUUUGGUAUGAUUGUUAGCUGGGCUCUUGUCCUUUGGCCUUUUAUAAUCAUGUGGUGGCUUUUCUAGGGCCGAUUUCGAGAUUAUUAGCAAGAUACAGUAUGAGAUAGGGGUAAGCUUCAGGAUGUCCUGCCCUUUUUAAUUGUUGUGCAUAUUCUUUUGAUUCCUAUCUCUAGUGGGGAACCAGAUGUGAUUUUGUACGUGGGACAUUUCUCCUGAUGGUAGUUUUUCCUUGAGGACUACUUCGGAUAUUGUGCAUUGGAUAAGGCCGAGGGAUGAGGCUUUUUUUGUUAUUUGGCAGCGACAUAUCUCUUCGUGGAUAUCCUUUUUUUCUCUAGAGGUUGUGACACAAAUUCUUGACCACAGAUGAUGCCUUGUGUUCGGGGGAUUUCUACAUACUUUCUUAGUAUCUUUGUGGUCGGGCUUCUGAGACUUCUAGGCAUUUAUUUCUUGAUUGCCCUCGAGUUAGGCCGGUUUGGGUCCAUUUUCUAUGUACUCUUGGUUUGCGCUAUGUUGCUUUUCUGUUCCCCUAUACUUUAUUUCUUAAUUGGUAGUGAUAUGCCCUUUCUUGAAGCCAUAUUCAAGUUCUUCUUCCUUGUUUCAUUUUGUGGUAAGUUUAGAAGGCUUGUCAUGCAUUGAAGUUUGACUCAAUGGCCUUUUUUGUUGAUGCCAUUAUUUAUCGGGCGAUGUUGGAUCUUAGGCUUGCUGGUUUUGCCUUUGGUCUUAAACCAUUCCAAUUGUGAAGAGUUUUAGGUUCUCGGUUUGCAGAGUGCUUGAGAGUUGUUGUUUCAUCUAGGAGGCCGAUUCUUUUAGUUUAUUGGUUGUGGCCACCACCUGGGGCGGUGAAGCUGACUAUCGAUGGUUGCUUUAGGAGUAAUCCUAGGAUCUCUGCUUUAGAUAGUAUUUUACUUGAUCAUCGAGAUGUGGCUUUGGCUGUUUUUGGUUCCUUCCUUGGGCGCUAACCGAUCCUUCAUGCAUAAUUCAUGGUUGUUUUUAGGGGUUAGAGUUGGCUGCUCAGCUCCAUUAUUCUGUGCUUGAGGUAGAGUCAGACUCAGCCAUGGCGGCUUCUAGGAUUUUUUUGUAAGGCCUUGUUCAUUCGGACUAUACCUAUUCUUUGCGUCGAGUGUGUAGUUUGACAUUUUCUUCUACUUCGUGGUUAGUCAUGUGCUUCGGAAGGCUACUUCUACUGCUGAUUUCGUUGGCCUGCACUCUUCAAGGUCAUCGGUGUUUCUUGGGUUCUCAGGAUAUCUCUGCUAGCUUAUCUAAUAAUCUCCGUUUGGAUAUGUGGGUAAUUUCUCAUAUCAGGCAAUAGGAUUUCUUAUUUCUGUAUUCCAUUUUUUAUCUUGUAUUUUUCUCUUUUCCAUUCUUAUGUUCUUGCAAUUGCGGUUUUGAUUUAUAUUCAUCUCCUUAUGUAUUUGAUUCAUUCUAUGAUUUAUAUGAAAGAUAGGGGUUCCACCUAACCCCACAUUUUUUGUGGUUAAAAAAAAAGAUCAGGAAUUCAACCUAAGUAAUCAAGGUGAAACAUCAAACAGGUUGUAAAUUUAACAUAUGAACGUAAAAGCUUAACAAAACAUUUGAAGUUGCUUGACAACAUAGAAAUACAUUAUAAAAGAGAUGCUAAACAACACAAAAAUUUGAUUGGGGGGAGUAUUGUUCAUGCUAGCAUAAUAAUGACGUGCCUGAGAAUACCUAAGACUUUCUUGAUAAAUAAUAUCAUUUAAAAGGUUAGGAAUCACAUAUGAUUGUCCACGUAUGAACAAACCUAGCUCAAAAUGUGAAAUGUGUUAAGAUUUUCAAACAUUUAAAUUAAUAAUUAAUAAUUUCAGACAAAGGAUACUUGGAAACCCUAAAGUUCACUGAUUCUAUGUUAUGGCUCAUUGUCUCUCUUGACAAUUUAAUUUCUAGAUUAUUUGGCUCCUAUCUAUUAAAAGACAACACCGUUACUAAAAUUAUAAAUUAUAACAGUUAAACCUAAACCUACGUCGUUUAGCAAUUUACAAAAGAAAAAAUAUAACAAAAGCCAAUUGUUGGAGUAGUAACGUGCCAACGAGAAAACCUCAAGCCAUGUAAUAUCCAGUGUCAACAACUAAAGAAGAACAAACCACCACCCUCAAGGCCGUCGCUGCACUAACGCUGGACCCGAUUUGAAUAGUUAGAAGUUGUAACAUUAAUUAGGGAUUGAGGGUAAAAUUUUGGACUUUGAUUUAAUAAAAUUGAUUUAAAUGAGUCCCAAUAGAAAUAUGAUUAUAAAUAUAUCAAUACAAUUAUAACAUGUGUAAAAGAAAAAAGUUUAUUUUCACACAAAACAAAAAACACAACCCUUGGAUGGGUUGUGUGAUGACUCUUCUGCAAAAAUUAUUUGAUCUCUCACUUUAUGAAGUACGAUUUGUCAGGUUUAAUUAAACCUGUUCCACUCCUUUUAUGUUACCACUUUAUUUUAAAAAUCCCAAAAAAUCUCCUAUCAAGUUUAAUUGCUUCCAGUGGUUUCUUCCUGCUCUGACUUUUGAAUUUCAAAACCAAUCAAAUUUUUUCAACUGUAGGCUUCACGUCUUUUUUUUUUUUUUUGACAACUGGACGUUUUCAUUCAUACUUUAUUCUCUUUCAUUUUGCAAUCCCCAAAAAAAAAAAAACUUUUUCUCUUCCUCUUCCAAUCUCUAACGCCCCCUCAUCUCCCUUUUUUAUUUUUUUUUUAUUUUGUCUUUUGCUUCUUUUUCCUUUGGCUUUAUUUCUCAUUACUUUUUGGCUUCGAAUUUUUCUUCAGCUUCUCAUAUUCUCCUGGGCGCCAUUAUCAUUCCACAAACAGGUAAAAGAAUCUUCAUUUACUUCUCUUUUUCCUUUCUUCUUCAUGGCCCACCAUUAUUCUUUCUUUUCCUUUUUGCUUUUCUCCCUUUUCUCUCCUCUUGGCUGGACUUCUUUUUUUUUUUUUUUUUUCUCGGCUGGACUCCUUCUCCUCUUUUUUUUUUUUCCUUUUUCUUUCCUCUUGGCUGGACUCCUUCUGGCAUGAUUUCCGGCGAGAUUUCUGGCGGUUGCCGCGGCGGUCUCCUGUACCCGAUCCGUCUGGUAUGCGGUCGCGUCUUGCGGCUCCCGGUGGGUUUGGCGCGGUGCUUCUCCGGUUCUCCCCGCACAUUGUUUUCUUUACUUCUUUUUCUUCCUCUCUGCGUUUUCUUUGGCUUUCCUCUUUUUUUUUUUUUUUUUGACUUCCUCUUCUUUGCUUUUUUUUUUUUAUCUCCAGGCUUCUCCCUUUUUUUUUUUGUACGUCCAAGCUCCUUCCUCUUUUUUUUUUUUAUUAUCUCUAACAUGUUUUAUUGUGUCUAUGACAGCCUCUGCACUGCUCCAUCUUUUGAGCAACUUUUGGCGAUUUGUGACUUCUCUUGGCGAUUUAUAGUCUAAAACUUACUUAUUGGCGACUGAAAUUUGCUACUCUCGGUGAGAUAUAGGUAUAAAAUUUUUCAUACCUAUUUUUGACUUCUUUAUUUUGAAGAAUGAUGUUGUGGCUUUGUUUCUGGUUUUCAUGCAAAGUGUUGGCAUUUUCCUUUUUUGUUUAUGCUUUUAUUGGUGGAUGUUGGUGUUUGGCUUGUGAUGGAUGAGGUCUGAAGUUGUGGGGGUAUAUUUUGAUGUGGAGUUUUUCUUUUUCAACUUGUGUCUUGUGUUUUUAGGAGAACAAGAUGGGGAGAAAAACUGUUGGGAAAAAGGGUCGUAAUGUGGUCAGGGAGCCGGGGGAGUCGAGUGAGGAGGCUCCCCUUUCUGAUUCAGCCCCUCAUAUAUCCCUUAGUGACGAUGAUGGGUCCCCUUCGGCUAGUCCCAAGUUAUCUCGAACCAAAACUAGUAAAAAAUUAAAGAUUAAAGGCAAACACCCAGCCAAGUCAGCCCAUAGAAAAACUCGUGCAAAGACAUCCAUACCCAAAUCUCCUAUUCCUGUUAGCAUUCCAGAACCUCCCCUGAUCUCUCCCUCUGUCUCUGUAGCUCCUAAGCUCUAUGCACUAGGGGGUAGGCUGGCUACUCCGAGAGAUUUAGAAAGGGUUAAAGCCAAAUACAACAUACCUCAUUCUGUCCACCUUAGGGUACCUCGCAAGGGCGAGCGCCCCGAGCACCCUCAUUCUGAUGGUGUUGCCCUUCAUACCGACCUUUUUGACUUAGGUCUCCGUUUACCUCUUCAGCCAUUUUUUAGAAAAAUGUUCACUGAGAUGAAAAUUGCUCCCGGACAGUUAUCCUUACCCGGUUGGAGAUUGCUCACGAGUCUGGAGGUUUUGUGGCUAGAUAUUUUUGGGGAGGAUAUUUCUUAUGGAGAUUUGAGGGGGCUUUAUCAGUUGAAGAAGCCCAUUGGUUUAUCCGUAGCCUAUUUUGCUACUUGGGGGGUUCAUGGUAAUUUGGUGAGACCGGAUCCCUUGCUGAAAAAGGGCUACAGAUAUGGGUGGUUUGUGGCUGAGGGCGAGUGGGGGAAGAGCAUUCCAGCGGGGAAUGAAGUUGUGCAAGUUCGAAACUUCUUCAAUGAAGAUAGUAUGUGUUUCUUUUCUCUUCUCUCCCUUUCUAUGUAUAUAUACACCUCUUCGCAUGAAUUUUCUUCUUAUUCGUUGUUUUUUUUUUUUUUUUGGAUUUUUGCAGACAUCACUUGGAUCAAAGGAACGUGCCCAAUCCAUGAAGUGGGGAGGAAAAUGAAUGGUGUUAUAGAGAAGUUCCAUAUUUUGCAGAGUGAGGGUGAUGUUCUGUGCACUUCCCGGUUGGCGAGAGCUGGUCUAAUUAAGGAGAGUUUUCAGUCUUCUUCAGGAGGCGAUUCACGUAUGGCUAUGUGGUGUUGCUGGGGUACCCCGCCUUCAUUGGUUCUGUGGGGUGCCCCCAUUAUUUGAACAAACUUUUUUUUUUUUUUUUAUGCUUUGGUGGCCAUCUCUUAUUUUUUCUUAAUGUGCCUUUUUACCAAUGACGACUCUAUUGUUUAUUUUCCUGAUUUGUCUCUUUGUCUUACCUCUUUUUUUUUUUGUUGGAUAGGCAUGGACCCUUUUGGCGAAGAUUUUGAUGCCUUCUUCAGUCGCAUGAGCGGCAGCUCCUCCGGUACCCUGGGUACCUCCGUAAAAGGUGACCGACCUCCCGUCGUUCCAGGCGGCAAAGGCAAAUUGCCCGUCUCCUCUCUUGGGGGUUCUCGGGGUACCCCGACUACCCACAAGAGAAAGCUUGGCUCUCUUUUCUCAGCUCCUAGAGACCUUAUGGAGGGCGAGCUGGAUCCGGUGGCUAACAAGCGGAUAUCGCACCUGACUGAUUGCUUCCUUCAUUCCUCUGAGAGUAUUUCCACAGACAUGGCAAUGGAGGCGGAUAAAUUAGAUUUAAAUGAGCGCUAUAGCCGAGCGCUCAAAGCUUGUCAUGACGUGAGCGCCUCUCACUCUUUUCUUUUCCUCUUCUUUUUUUUAUAUCGUCCUGACUCCUUUUCAUUUUCUUUAUUAUUAUUUGUGUAGGCGGCUUUCUACCUUAGCCACGGUCUCCGAGACCUUAGUGGUAUCUCGGCUGCACAGACCGAGGUAGAGACACUGCGAGGUGAGGUUAGGCUCGGCCAGUCUCGGGAAGAGAAGCUAGGAGAGGAGGUCAGGGCUUUGCAAAGGUGCUUGGAUGACCACGCCCGGGAGAACAAUCGAUUGUCUAGGAAGUUGGAAGAGGUGGAAUCUAAGCACGGCGAGCUACUAUCUCGCCAACCGGAGAUGAUGGACAAGGCCUUCACUCUUAUCAUGACUGAGGUCUAGAGCGUUGAGCCUGAGUUGGUGGUACCCCGGGUGGAGAAAUGAGUGGACAAGUCGGCCAUCCUGAAAGCGAUAGAGGAUAAAAGGGCUACCCAAGCUCCACCAUCCUAUAGCCCGCAGCAAUCUUCGGGGGUACCCCAGGUGCCCCAGGCACCCCAGGCGGAUCUCCCUUCGGCUAGCGCUAUUCCUAUAGAUAGUAGCUAUUUGGCCGCGAGUGUUCCUAUUGACGCCCCCGUUGAGGGGAACGGUGGGGAGGAUGUCCCCCCUUCUUCUUGACCUUACUUGCUAUUUACAGCUUUAUCUCGAGAUGUCUUAGUGACUUUCUUCCUUUGCUUCUGUACCUUUGUAGUAUGAUAUCAUCCUUUUGAUGUAUUGGGAUACUUGUCUUUUGGAAGGUUGCCUCGGUAAUCUUGCUACUUAUUUGUAUUAAACUUUUGCAAUAGACUUUAUUCGGCUUACCAUUGAAUUCCUUGCUUAUGAUUGAUUUGUGUAGACUCGUGGGGGUUCCUCGGGUACCCCAGGUACCCCCCUGAUGUAUUUUUGGCACUUGCAUGGUGAUUUCCGUAGAUGUGCUCACUGCUCGUCUUAAUAAAGAUCAUGGCGUAUCUCAAAAUGAUUUAAUAAUUUGCACAUUAUCAUAAGAUAAAACAAAAUUCAUAUUUGGCGCAACUAGGAUUAAAUAAAGAUUAUGGCGUAUCUCAAAUAAACUUGUGGAGUUUCUUGGGUAUCCCGGGUACCCUUUUUUUUUUUCGAGGACUUUUUUGGCCCCCUUUCUUGCAUAAAUGGUAAAAAAUAUGCUUAUUUUGCCAUCCGCUUCUAGUCAAUAUUUAAUAAAAUAAUGCGAAUAGAGGGGCAUGCUUGCCUACCUCGUUUCGUUUAUCUAUUCUUUACUUGGCUCAAGCAAAAGAAUGGAGGUGUGGGCGUGUGCAUACCGUAACGGAACCUCAUGGCACUAGGGUAUGCUGGUUUACCUCGCCCUCGGGCCUUCUCUGACCCUCCCUCUUUAAAUUUGUUGUAUUAUUUCUUAUUGGCGUUGACCUCGAACAGAUCUUCACGAUCGAAUCGAGUCAGAUACCUCAGGUUCCCCUAAUUAUCUUGAAAUGGAGUAAUUAUAGUUGAAUAAGACAUGGCGUAAUAAGAGAGAGUCACAUUAAUGGCAAAAAUUUAACCAUAAUCACAUUCGGUAAUCAAAAGGAGAACAUUACAUAAAAUUGACUCAUUGUCCCAAUGAGAAUAGGAAACCAUAUAGAUAUCCACUCUCUAGGACUUAGGGAAUUAAAAAUUUCACUUGCACAUGUGGGGUACCCUAAGUACCUUUCAUGGCUUUACCACAUUGCACACAUAGUAAAGAAAAUAAGAGAUAGAUAAAGUGAACGAUAAGGUUUAAGACACUGUCCUCAUGUUAGUAGUACUUCCUCAGCAUUGCGGCAUUCCAGGGAUGCUUGACGAUUGUUCCAUCCAUGUGGAGUAGUCUGUAUGCCCCUGAACCUACCGGCUUGUCUAUGCGAUAUGAGCCUUCCCAAUUGGCUCCGAAAGAGCCCUCCGAGGGUACCCGGGUAUUCUGAGUUACCCUUCGUAUGACUAAAUUCCCUUUCUUGAAUGAUCUGGGGUGUACCCUCUUGUCAUAUAAAUCUAAAACGCGGUGCUGGUAUAUUGCAACCUUCAAUUCUGCUUUAACCCUUUUUUCUUUAACAAAAUCAAGAUUGGACGCAAUCAAAGAGGCAUUCUCGGCUUCAUCGAAGUAUGCGGUUCUGUGAGAGGGUAUCCCGAUUUCAGCUGGAAUGACUGCAUCAGUCCCGAAAGCCAGAGAAAAUGGGGUUUCCCCAGUUGAAAUAUUCUGAGUUGUCCGAUAGGCCCAAAGAACGCCGGGUAACUCGUCUACCCAAGCUCCAUUUCUUUCCUCCAGCCUCUUCUUUAGGAUACCCUUGAUGAUUUUGUUGAUGGCUUCCACUUGUCCAUUAGAUUGCGGGUGAGCCAGAGAAGCAAAUCGGUUGGCUAUCCCAAGCUCCGAGCAAAAAUUCUGAAAUUUUUCAUUAUCGAAUUGCUUCCUGUUGUCGCUGACAAUUGCAUUAGGGAUACCAUAUCUGCAUAUGAGGUUCCUCCAAACAAAAUCAGUAGUUUUUCUCUCCGUAAUGCUUGCCAACGACUCCGCUUCUACCCACUUUGUAAAAUAGUCAACGGCUACAAUUGUAUACUUAGCUUGUCCUCUACCAGUUGGUAGUGGGCCAAUGAGAUCUAUGCCCCAAACAGCAAAUGGCCACGGAGAAGACAUGACAGUUAACUUUUCUGGUGGAAGGUGGGGUACCUUGGCAAAUCUCUGGCACUUGUCACAACUCUUGACCAUAUUUUUGGCAUCCUCCCGCAUCGUAGGCCAAUAAAAUCCUUGACGAAGGGCCUUCUGUGCCAAUGAUUGUGCUCCAUAGUGGUUACCGCAUAUCCCUUCGUGUAUCUCUCUCAUGACAUAUUCGGCAUGUUCAUUGCUUCAUUCUUGUUUGAGGGCAGAUCCCCACUUCUGAGGUAUCCUAUGAUUGGUUGCAUUCAGGGUACCCCAGCAGUUAUCGACCCUAUUUCUUCUGGCUCAAAUAGAUUAACACUUGGUGUAGGUACGUACUCAGCAGUGAUUGGACCAACCGACUGAGUUGCACCGAAGGAAGCCAUUUUGGCGAGGUUGUCAGCUUCACAAUUUUCUAAUCGUGGAACUCUUUCCACCUUGACCUCAGCAAAUUGAGAUAUUAAUUCUCUUGUUCUCCCGAGGUACCCCUUCAUAUUUUCUUCCUUAGCGUGAUAUUCUGAGUUGAUCUGACCGACCACCAACUGAGAGUCACUCUUGAUGUGGACUCUUUUUGCGCCUAAGGCCUUCGACAUCCUUAGCCCCGCUAUCAUAGCUUCAUACUCGGCUUCGUUGUUUGAGGCCUUGAACCCGAAUUACAAGCCAUAACAUAGCUUCACCUUAUCCGGAUCGAUGAUUAUUACUCCCGCACCGCUUCCGUGCGAGUUGGAGGAACCAUCCACAUAAAUUUCCCAGACAUGCUCUUCUUCAAUAGCUGAUGUAGUUUCGCCCGGGUACCCCGAGAUCUCCUCACCCCCGGAGUCAUUGGCGAAUUCUGCAAUGAAAUCGGUGAUGGCUUGGGCUUUAAUAGCUGAGCGUGGCUUGAAGAUGAUGUCGAACUCACUCAAUUCAAGAGACCAGCGAAGAAGUCUUCCAGACAUGUCUAACUUCUAGAGGAUUUGUCGAAGGGGAAGGUUUGUUACAACGGCAAUGGUGUGGGCCUGAAAAUACGGCCGCAGUUUCCUCGUAGAGAUUACCAAGCCAAAACCAGCUUCUCUGUGGCGGGGUACCUCUUUUCCGCAUCCACCAUUGCCCUACUAGUGUAGUAAAUAGGCCGUUGCACCCCGUCUUCAUCUUCUCUAAGCAACAUUGAGAUAGUGGCGUGCUCAGAAACAACGAGAUACAACAGAAGCACUUCUCCAUGCUUAGGCUUGGCGAGCAAUGGUGAAUUAACGAGAUACUCCUUUAGCUUCUGAAAAGCCUCUUCGCACUCGGCGGUCCAUUGGAGCUUCUUUCCCGCUUUCAAAGCUUUAAAAAAUGGCUUGCACUUGUCGGUGGCCUUGGAGAUGAAACGACUCAAGGCGGCUAUCCGGCCAGCUAAGCUCUGGACUUCCUUAAUGGUACUUGGUGACUUCAUCCCAAGAACCGCCUGGAUUUUAUCGGGAUUAGCCUCAAUUCCCGCUGUUGUACCAUAAAUCCAAGGAAUUUACCCGAAGUCACCCCGAAUGCACAUUUCUUAGGAUUUAGGCGCAUCUGAUGCUUUCUCAAAAUAUUGAAGGUAUAUCUGAGGUGCCCCGAGUGAUCACUGGUGUACACCGACUUUGUUAUCAUAUCAUCGAUGUGCACCUCCAUGGUACGACCGAUUUGUUAUUUGAAGAUCUUGUUCACCAAACGCUGAUAGGUGGCGCCUGCAUUCUUCAAACCAAAAGGCAUAACCUUGUAGCAGUAUAACCCACGGUUGAUGAUGAAGGCCGUUUUAUCUUGAUCAGGCUCGUACAUUGGAAUUUGGUUGUACCCGGAGAAAGCAUCCAUGAAACUAAGCAUCUCGUGCCCAGCAGUAGCAUCGACCAGCUGGUCUACCCGGGGAAGCGGGAAGCUAUCCUUAGGGCAAGACCUGUUUAAAUCCGUGAAAUCUAUACACAUGCGCCAUUUUCCGUUAGACUUCUUAACCAAUACAACAUUUGAGACCCAAUCGGGGUACACCGCCUCCCUAAUAAACCCCGCUGCUAGUAAUCGGUCCACUUCUUGUUCAAUGGCGUCAUAGCGUUCCUGGUUGAAAGCUCGACGUUUUUGCUUGACAGGCCUAUGAUGUGGAUCGACAUUGAGCUUGUGACAGGCGAUAGAAGGCGGGAUACCCGGCAUGUCCGCGUGAGACCAAGCGAACACAUUUAAGUUUUUCCUUAAGAACUCAAUAAGCUGCUCUCGGUGUUAGUCAGAGAGGUUGGAGCCUACCUUGACCAUCUUGGUUGGGUCCUUAUUGCAGAUCAAAACAGACACAAGAUCCUCAGCCGGUGUUCCUCGCUUUUCAUCUUUCGGUACCCGGGGAUCCAGGGGUACAUUGACUUCUCCCAUUGAUGCUGAAUUGGGACUUUGGGGCACCAGUGGUGCCCUGGGAGCUACCACGUCCACUUCCAUUGGCCCAGCUUCAUACGGCGCUUGGGGUACCUGGGAGUUCGUGGACCGUUGAGCUUUCUUACGUGCAACUCUCCGGCGUCUAGCCAGUGCCCGCUUGGAUAGGCUGGUAAAUGAACUUGUGCUGACGGGGUACCCCUCCAGGAACAUAUUGGUGGCGAUUUGGUAGCUUACUUUCGAUGCGAUCGAGUAGCACCCUCGAGCCGAUUGCUGAUCCUCUUUGAUCGUGAUAAUUUCUCCAGCGGUUGGAAUCUUCAUGGCGAGGUAAUGCAUGGAGAUUGCCGCCUUAGUUGUUGCUAAGAAUGGUCUUCCCAAGAUGAUAUUAUAGGCACCUGGGUGAUCCACAAUAAGAAAAUCAAUCAUAUGAACAAUACGGUGAGGUACCUUACCAAGUGUAACGGGCAGCGUAAUGAUGCCCUUUGGGAUAACCAUAUCGCCGGCGAACCCAAUAAGAGGUGUAGCACAUGGGGUGAUCUUUGGCGAUUCAAUCAAUAGUUGAUCCAAGGCGCUUUUGAAAAUGAUAUCAACGGAGCUGCCGGUGUUUACAAGAGUUCUUGCUACCUUACCAGUAGCAACCUUCAACGUUAUUACUAAGGCGUCGUCAUGGGGGUACGAGACAUCUUCAGCAUCUUGCUCUGUGAAAAUGAUAGAUGGGGGAUGGUGGGGUACCCCAGAUACCCUAAGUUGAUUUUGACAAGUGAGGUUCACUUCUUUUCCAGGGCGAUCCAAAAUUGGUGGCUUGCUGUAACGUUUGAUGGCCCGUCUAGAUUCCCCAGCGAGGGUAGGACCCCCUGCUAUCAUUCGAACAUACACGUCUUUCUUAGACCCCUGGGGUAUCUCAGCUUCUGGAUGAGGGUUAGCAACUUGUUUACCAUUAUCUUGCUCCGAGAACUUCAUUGCCUCACGCAUAUCAGCCACAAAUUCCUUGAGAUACCCACUCAGAAUCAAUGACUCAAUUUCUUCCCUCAAGUGAAAGCAUUCGGCGGUGCUAUGGCCGAAAUCUUCAUGAAACUCACAAUACUUCAAGCUACGCUUCAUAUUGGGGUAUUUCCGAAUUAGCUUAGGUGGGCGAAGCAUCCCCGUAUCCCUAAUAUGGUAAAAAAUUUGUUCUGGAGAUUGAUUCAAAUGGUAGAAAGAGUCAUAUCUGGAUUUUUGUGGUGCUUCCCGUUGUUCUGGCGGUAGCGGUGGGCUAUGUACUCGGGGUGCUCGGGAUGGUACCUGAGGUACCCGGGGUACCCGGGGUACACCAGGGAUAUUCAGUCCUCUCCCACGUGGGGUUGGACGAGGUGGGCUGUGUACCCGGGGUGCUCGAGAGGGUACCUGAGGUACCUCGGCUCUCUUGGGUUUCUCCUUGUUUCUCACAACUUCGACUCUGUCUUCCUCUCGCUUUAGGUUACACUUCUCAUCCAUUUCUAUUUGUUGCAGGGCUCGAGAACGAGCUUCCCCAUAUGAAAGAGGGCGGUGUUUUUGAAAUGACCGCCAUAACUUCCCCAAACGCAAAUUCUUUUCAAAAUGAGUGAGAGUAUGUUGGUGACCAAAUGUACCGGUACGCAACACCUCUUGGUGGAAGCGGGUUACGUACUCGGCUAAAGACUCCGAAUCCCCUUGUUUGAUGAAAGCAAGCUUGGAGGAUGUUAUAUCUUGGGCGGAUGCAUAACCAAACUCAUGAACAAAAUCUUUUAGGAGCUGGUCUAGGGAGGAUACACUACCUGCCUUCAACGAUCGAAACCAUGACUUGGCUGGUCCGGUGAGGGUAUGUGGGAACAUCCGGCACAUAGCAUUGUCGUCCACUCCUUUAAUCAUCAUCUGGUCACGAUAUAACUCAGCAUGUUCCACGGGAUCCGAGGUACCCGAGUAUUGUUGUAUUUGAGGCAUGGUGAACGCUUCCGGGAGAACCGCUGUCCGAAUCUCCAUGGUGAAUGGCGAGUUAUGCACUGCUGGCGCUAGAGCAUUGGUGGGGUUUUGUUUUUCAGAAAGGAGCUUCACUUGGGCUUCGAGGUACUCCAUUUUUUCCAGGAACUCGCGGGGUACCCCAGGUGCACCUGAGGAGGCCGUUGUUGUCGUUCAACUUGUACCGGAGAUCUUCAUGGGCUUUUUGUUUGCGUUUGGUACCCUGGCUACUACGGGAAUAACAAGAGGCAGUAGAGCGUUCUUCCCGGGAGCCGGCGGCUUGACACUUUGAACGGGUGCCCGAUGGCCCAUGCUUUGGUCUACUUCCCUCCGGUAUUUCAAAUCUUGGUAUGAUCUGUUUCUCACCUCGUGGAGGCUGGACAUCUUGAGUUACCGGAGAAGUAGCUGCUUCGGGUACCCGAGAUCCUACUGCUCUGAGAAUCGCAUGAGCUAAAUCCUCAGUGUUUAUGAGUGACGGGCUCCUCGUCAGGUUGAAUACCAGCUGAUUGCUUAACUGAUUUGCCUUUCUCUAGGCGGGAUGCCCUUCUUGUCGAGUCACCCCUCUCAUCACCGCCGUGGUCCUCUGCUCCAUCAUGACCUAGCAUUUGGUUAUCAGCGGGUACGUCAGGUGCCAUGGUUUUGUAAGCACACGUACCGACAAGCUUAGCACCGUGUGGAGGCUUUUUGCGCGCUCCCCACAGACGGCGCUAAUUGUUUGUGGCUGAUUUUGGGUCAAUGAAUAAAAAACCACAAAACCAACCCAAGAGCAAUAAAUUUAUAUUUUGUCGGGGAGCGGGGUACCUCGCUUAUUCGGCACGUACGGGCUAUUUAGGCUUUUUGUGGAGUGAAGGAGGAUUGAGCCGACGGUGGUUAUGGAGGGGAUCUGACUUCAGGUGCGGAGGGCUGGUGCAACUCGCCUUAAACCUGCGAAACAACCAAAAAAGAGGUCAGAGAUGGAGCCGGGGGUGGCCGGCGACCACACUCCGACGCUCAAGUCAGAGUUGGGUUAUCUUAGGUUAGAGAGCUUGCAAGCUCUCGGUAAUAGAGGUUUUGAGGUUGAAGAAACCCUAGUUUUUUCUGGUGAGUGUGUUUCCUCCCUUGAUAAAAAUCAAACCUGAGUAUUUAUAUGGUGUACCCCAGUCGCCGUGCCACCUGGCGCUAUUUUAGUGGCGUUCCCUGUUGUCAUGUCAGGAAUAUUCUUAUUUUUAUGCGUAAGGUGGCUUAGACGUUUCAAAAAUAUCAGUGGAGAGCAAGUUUGUGGCGUAUUCACGUGCUGGGCGUAGUGGAGUGGUCCCGCGUACCUCUGCAAUUCCGUUGUAAUUUUGUAGGUGUAGCAGGAAAAGCUGGUGGUCCCAACUGUCACAAUAUCACACUUUUGGCGGAUUCGCUGGCGUGACAGGCGGCAGUCUUCUCUUUUGCGGCACAAGAUUUCCUUAUUUUUCGACACGUAUCAAACCGAUCUUUUUUAGAUUCAGGGCCCACAUAUCCCUUCACAUAUUUACUAAGAUUUUUAUAUCCUUUCAUGGUGUACCCGAGGUACCCCCGAAGUCCUUAGAGUAGCCGGGGUACCUAGAGUACCCGAGGUACCCGAGACAAAUUAAUCUCUUAAAUAUCGACACGUGGCGCUUCAUCAUUGGUCUCAUAUUUCCUUCCCAAACAACCACCUUGUUGCUAAAUGGACUCGCCCAUCCCCCGUGGAGCUUCACUUCAGCCAUGUGUCUGAGAUCGAAUUUGAAUAUGUUUGUGGUUGUUUUGCUUAGCUGAUGAGUUAUUGCAUACGUACAUCUGAGUUUGAGCAGGGAGCUUCAUAUUUCCAAUUUAUUUAAUAAAAUGAUUAAAUUAAGUUGAAUUCAAUGAGCUAAUGCUGCGACUUUUUAACAAUUCUGUUAUAUAUUGAUGAGCAUAAUUUAUAUACAUAUUUUACCCUUAAUUAUAUAAUUACUAAUUAUUUUUAUUUGUUAUUUUUAAUUAAUUAAAUUAUUUUAUUGAAUAGGGGAUUAAUUGAAGAUUAUGGAUAAAAAAGGAUAUAAGGGAGCUCAAUUUUGGAAGCGUUAAUUAAUUGAUUUUAGAAGCAAUUAGACAUACAUGCAUGUGGAAGUGAAGCCGAGGAAACCGAAGCUAGUAAAUUAAUUGAUCUAGCACAUGAAGAAGAAUUUAAGCAUAACAUUGGCUUUAGCUUAGUUAAGUUACACGUGCAUGGCUUUGUAAUAUUUGGAAAGCAAUUUAAAUGGGACCCGCACUUGGCUUUCAUAAUUGGAAAAGGAAUCCUAAAGCAAUUCCAAAGGUGGUCACGUGUGAGAGCUAAAGGAAAUAAAAGGGCAAGCCUUUUGGUUUUAGGAUUUAAGAGAUGGGGCCCAUUUCAAAGAUUAUAAAAGGGAGUUUUGGCUUUUGGAGAAGGAGGCGGCCAGAGGACAGAAACAAAAGGCUGGAAGAGAGCAAUCGGCAGCAGCAAUAUUUCGGCUUCCCCAUGGCUGAAUUUAUUUAUUUUGUUGCUCCCAAUUCAAGUAUGUCUAGCUAAUUUUCUUAUACUGAGGUUAAGGAUGAAACCCUAUUCAAUGAAAUAAUUAUCUUUUUAUUUAAUUAAUUCCCUAUAUAUGUUCUUUGAUGAUUAUGGUUUUUAUUUCACAUGAUUAAUUGGAUGUUAAUAAAAUCUUUUCAUCAAUUCUGGCGUGCAUUAUUGAUUGUUAUGAUUAAUAUUCGAUUAAUUCUAUGCUUGGAUCUAUAAAGUUUAUACAUGAUUAUCUUUGAUUGUAUGUCUUUCAUUAAAUUGUUUAAAUGGAGUGCUUAGGAAACUUUGACUCUUUGUUAUUCAAUAUGUUUACAUGGGAUGCUUAGAUGUCAUAUUAUUAAGCAGAAAAAGAACCUACAUAAGAUUAAUUUUAUUUGGGCUUAAUUGUUAUAUCCAUGAGAUGACAUAGAUUGAUUUCGAGUUGUCACUCUAAAAUUGAGGAUUAAUUAAUAAUUAGAUAAUUACUAGUUGAAUAGUGGUGGAUUCUGAAACCUUGGUAAUUCUUAUCUCAUUAAAUUCUCCUUUAUUUUAAUUUCCUUAGUUUAAUUGGUUUAAUUUUCUUAAAAAUUCAAUUUGCUCAACUAGGUUAGAAUUAAUAUUAAAUUUUAGAUUUAAAUUAGACUUUUUAAUUUAUAACAAUCCCUGUGGGAUCGACCUCGUUACCACUAUUCUAUUUCUAGAUUCGUGCGCUUGCGAGUAUAUUAAAAUUUUCACAACAAGUUUUUGGCGCCGUUGCCGGGGAUUGUGCUAGAAAGUCAGUUUAAUCUAGGUUGAUUUGAUUCUUCCACUAGUUAUAAUUUAGGUUGUCUUUUAUUUUUUUUAAUUAAAAAAAAAAACAACAACACAAAAAAAAAAACUUUUAUUUGUCUUUAAAUUCAUUGUUUAGUUGUUUGAUUUCUUUUAUUUUUAAAUUUCGUUUAUUCUCAUUUUUGUUGGUUUAUUUUAUUUUAUUUUUUUUUCUUUCCUUGUCUAGUUAGUUUAUGAGUGUUUGGGAACGUGAUUCAACAAAUCGUUUGGUUAAAAGAGAGUCGAAAAUUGAUAGUAGUCAAGCUAGUUCUUUAGAAGUGAUGGAUGACCCAAAUAGAUUAUUACCAAUACUUCCACCAGUGCAAGCAGAGAAAACCCUUAGAGAAUACUUUUCACCACUUGCAGCCAACCAACCAUCUUGUAUUGUGUUGCCACAAACUACAGCAACACACUUUGAACUUAAGCCCUCAGUCAUUCAACUUUUACCAUCUUUCCAUGGGUUAGAGAGAGAGGAUCCAUAUUUGCACAUUAAGGAAUUUCUUGACAUAUGCUCUACAUUUCGUUUUCAAAAUUUUAACGAUGAGUCAAUUAGGAUUCGUAUGUUCCCUUUCUCAUUAAAAGACAAAGCAAAAGCUUGGUUGAAUUCACUUCCUGCUGGGUCUAUUAGUACAUGGGAUGAAUUGAGUAAUAAGUUUCUCACCAAGUUUUUCCCUAUGUCUAAAACAAAUGCCCUUAGGAGAGAGAUAAGUGAUUUUUAUCAAAGAGAGAGUGAGCAAUUUUACGAGUGUUGGGAAAGAUUCAAUGAUUUACUCCUCAAGUGUCCCCACCAUGGUUUUGAAAAAUGGAGACUUAUACAAUGCUUUUAUAAUGGCUUAACCAUGUCAAAUCGUCAUAUGGUAGAGUCUAUGAAUGGUGGGAGAUUUUUGAACUUACAUGAAGGGGCAGCAUGGGAUUUCUUUAAUUCACUUUCUGAAAAUUCUCAACAGUGGGAUUUUUCAAAUCAAAGGGAAAAAUCAUCUCAAGUUUCUAGAAAGGGGCUAUAUGAAGUUAAGGAUGAUUUAGAUAUGAAAUCCACUCUAGCUACACUUUCUAGGAAAGUAGAUGCCUUAGUUAUGAACCAAUCCAUAAAUCAUCAUCCCAGUGUAGCUAAUGAGGUUUGUGCUAUUUGUUCUAACUUGUCUCAUACAGCACAAAAUUGUCCAUCAUUACCAGUCUAUCCAGAUGCUUAUUCUGAGCAGGUACAUGCCUUACAAUCAUAUGAGAAAACCUCCAAUAGUCCAUAUUCAUCCACAUAUAAUCCUAAUUGGAGGAAUCACCCUAAUUUUUCUUGGAAACAAAAUCAACCUUUGUCAAACCAAGGAGGGCAACAAUUUAACAUGCCCAACCAACAAUUUGUCCCUCCUAACCAAGUAUAUCCUCAUGCCCAACAACCUAUGUCUCAAUUUGUUGCACCCCAACAAAGAAAGCCUUCUUUAGAGGAUACACUUCAAAGUUUCAUUCAGUCAACCCAACAAGCUUUUCAAUCAAAUACUCAAGCUAUUCUGAAGCUUGAACAUCAAUUGGGUCAAUUAGCAACUACUGUAGCGGAGAGAGAAAAAGGAAAAUUCCCAAGUCAACCAAUUCCCAAUCCUAAAGGAGUGCAUGAAGUUGGAUCGAGUUCAAGCCAUCUGCAUGAAGAAGCAAAAUCUGUUAUGACCUUGAGAAAAGGAAAAUUAUUUGACAACAAAGUGGAGGUUCCAACAAGGAAGAUAUCUGAGCCUACUUCUUCAGAUCCAGUUCCAUCACAAGAGUCGUCAACAAAUGAUCCAGAAGAGAGUGGCCCGCCAGCUUACAUUCCUAAGGCUCCUUUUCCUCAAAGGUUAGCAAAGGUAAAGAAAGGGACUUCAACAGGUGAGAUUAUGGAAAUCUUCAAGCAAGUAAGUAUAAUUAUCCCUUUACUCGAUGCUAUUAAGCAAGUUCCUUCCUAUGCCAAGUUUUUGAAAGAUUUAUGCACUAAAAAGAGAAAUUUGCAUGUCACUAAAAAGGCGUUUUUAACUGAACAAACUAGCAACUUACUCCAAUGUAAAAUGCCACCAAAAUUUAAGGAUCCUGGUUCUCCUACUAUCUCAUGUGUUAUAGGGAACCAAUGUUUUGAUAAAGCAUUAUUGGAUUUGGGUGCUAGUGUUAAUCUCUUGCCUUAUUCUGUUUACAUGCAACUUGGAUUAGGUGAGUUAAAAUCAACUCCUAUUAUUUUGCAACUUGCUGAUAGAUCAAUGAAAAUACCUCGUGGUAUUAUAGAGGAUGUGUUGAUACAGAUUGAUAAAUUUUAUUAUCCUGUUGAUUUUAUUGUUAUUGAUACUCAGCAUGUACAUGAUCCUAAGAAACACACCCUAGUUAUUCUAGGUCGUCCUUUCUUAGCUACAGCUGAUGCUCUUAUUAAUUGCAGGAAUGGAAAUAUGCAGCUAUCUUUUGGUAAUAUGACCAUGGAAUUGAAUAUUUUUAAUGUUACCAAGCAGCCACAAGAAGAAGAUGAAUUUGUUGAAGCAAAUAUGAUAGAGGAAUUAGUAGAAGAUUCAUUCAUUUCUAACCAUACUGAUGAUCCAUUAGAGGCAUGUCUAACUCAUCCUGAUUUAUCUUUUAAUGAUGACAGUGCAAUUGCAGAAGUCAGCGCUUUACUUGAUGCACCUCUAAUUACGGACACAACUAAAUGGAAGGCAAAGUCAGAAUUACUGCCUCAUUCUGAGAAGAAAAUUGGCCCAUCUGCGGAGGCACCACCAAAAUUGGAACUCAAAGCACUGCCCGACACUUUGGAAUAUGCAUUCUUGGGAGAAUCUGACACUCUACCUGUUAUUAUUUCUUCUUCCCUCGAUCUUGAGCAAAAAGGUAAGUUGUUAGGUAUUCUAAAAGAGCAUAAGGAGGCAAUAGGAUGGACCAUCGCUGAUAUUAAAGGUAUUAAUCCAGUAGAUUGCAUGCAUCGUAUUCAUCUUGAAGAAAAUGCCAAACCUAUUAGGGAGAUGCAACGUAGGCUAAAUCCUAACAUGAAAGAAGUGGUAAGAGCUGAAGUAAUCAAAUUAUUAGAUGUAGGAAUUAUUUAUCCUAUUUCAGAUAGCUCUUGGGUUAGCCCUGUGCAAGUUGUUCCUAAGAAAUCUGGUGUUACAGUAGUUACUAAUGCUAAUAAUGAAUUAAUUCCCACUAGAGUAACUACAGGUUGGCGUGUUUGCAUUGAUUAUAGAAAAUUGAAUUCAUUCACAAGAAAAGAUCAUUUUCCUCUUCCAUUUAUUGAUCAAAUGCUUGAUAGACUUGCAGGUCAUGAUUUUUAUUGUUUUCUAGAUGGAUAUUCAGGUUAUAAUCAGAUCCCUAUAGCUCCAGAGGACCAGGAGAAAACUACUUUUACUUGUCCCUUUGGAACUUUUACAUAUAGGAGAAUGCCAUUUGGUUUAUGCAAUGCACCUGCUACCUUUCAAAGAUGCAUGCUUAGUAUUUUUUCUGAUAUGGUUGAGAGAUUUCUUGAAGUAUUCAUGGAUGAUUUUUCUGUUUUUGGAGAUUCUUUUGAUGAAUGUUUGCAGCAUCUAACAUUAGUUUUGCAGCGAUGUAAAGAAAAGAAUUUGGUUCUAAAUUGGGAAAAGUGUCACUUCAUGGUAAAACAAGGUAUUGUUCUUGGUCAUAUAAUUUCCAGCAAAGGUAUAGAAGUCGACAAAGCUAAGCUGGAUUUAAUUUCUAAUCUUCCACAUCCCAAAUCCGUAAAAGAAGUAAGAUCUUUCCUUGGACAUGCUGGUUUUUAUAGAAGAUUCAUUAAAGAUUUUAGUAAAAUUUCUAGACCCUUAUGCAAUUUACUUGUUAAGGAUGUACCUUUUAUCUUUGAUGAAUCUUGUCUUGAUGCUUUUGCAAAGCUUAAGAAAUUAUUGACUUCUUCACCUAUCAUUCAGGCACCUAAUUGGGAUUUGCCUUUUCAAAUUAUGUGUGAUGCAUCUGAUUAUGCAGUAGGAGCAGUUUUAGGACAAAGAUUAGAUCGUGUGCCUUAUGUGAUUUAUUAUGCUAGUAUGACACUCAAUGAUGCACAGUUGAACUAUUCAACUACAGAAAAAGAAAUGCUAGCUGUGGUAUUUGCACUUGAUAAAUUCAGAUCUUAUCUUAUAGGUUGUAAAGUGAUUAUUUUUACUGAUCAUGCUGCUUUAAAAUAUUUGUUUACUAAGAAAGAUGCUAAGGCAAGAUUGAUUCGUUGGGUGUUGCUUUUACAAGAAUUUGACAUUGAAUUUAGAGAUAAAAAAGGUUCUGAAAAUGUUGUGGCGGAUCAUUUAUCUCGCCUUGAUCUUAAAUUUAUUCCAGAAUCUUUACCUUUGAAUGAGUCUUUCCCAGAUGAGCAACUUAUGAGUGUAAAUGUUGUACCAUGGUUUGCUGAUAUAGUUAAUUACCUUGCUACAGGUCAAAUCCCAGAGCACUGGACUAAGCAAGAUAGAACAAAGUUCUUAUCUAAAGCGAAAGACUUCUUUUGGGAUGAUCCCUAUUUAUUUAAAUAUUGUGCUGAUCAGAUUAUUAGGCGAUGUGUUCCCGAUAAUGAAAUUCAAAGUGUUAUCUCAUUUUGCCAUGAACAAGCUUGCGGAGGCCACUUUAGUGCUAAAAAGACAGCAACAAAAAUUUUACAGUGUGGUUUUUAUUGGCCUACUCUUUUUCAUGACGCUUAUGUUUUCUGUUCUUUGUGUGAUAGGUGCCAACGUAUGGGUAGCAUUUCAAAGAGGAACAUGAUGCCACUCAAUCCUAUUCUUGUGGUUGAGAUCUUCGAUGUAUGGGGUAUUGAUUUCAUGGGACCUUUCCCUCCAUCUUUUGGUUAUCAAUAUAUAUUGGUUGCAGUGGACUAUGUGUCGAAGUGGGUUGAAGCUAUUCCAUGCAAAACCAAUGAUCAUAGGGUUGUAGUGAAAUUCUUGAAGAGUAAUAUUCUGUCUCGUUUUGGUUUUCCUAGAACAAUCAUUAGUGAUGGUGGUACCCAUUUUUGUAAUAAACCUUUCAAAACUCUUUUGGACAAAUAUUCCAUUACACAUAAGGUUGCCACCCCAUAUCAUCCUCAAACCAGUGGCCAAGUAGAGAUUUCUAAUAGAGAGAUCAAGCAGAUUCUAGAGAAAACAGUUAGGCCAGAUAGAAAGGAUUGGUCUUUGAGACUUGAUGAUGCAUUGUGGGCAUAUAGAACUGCUUUUAAAACACCAAUUGGGAUGUCACCUUAUCGACUUGUGUAUGGAAAAGCAUGUCAUCUGCCAGUAGAGUUGGAGCAUCGUGCAUAUUGGGCUAUCAAGAAAUUCAAUUUUGACAUGCAGCAAGCUGGGUCCAAGAGAAGAUUACAACUAGCAGAACUUGAAGAGAUCAGGAAUGAUGCAUAUGAGAAUGCCAAGAUUUAUAAACAGCGAAUGAAAGUCUUUCAUGACAAACAUAUUUUGAGAAAAGCCUUUACACCAGGUCAGAAAGUACUUUUAUAUAAUUCCCGAUUGCAUCUCUUUCCAGGUAAGUUACGUUCUCGAUGGUCUGGUCCUUUUAUAGUUCGUACUAUCUUCCCUUAUGGAGCAAUUGAAAUUGAAAAUCCUAAAAAUGGUGAUUUAUUUAAGGUGAAUGGUCAAAGAUUAAAACCAUUUUUAGAAUUAAAAACACCAGAAGUUGAGGAGAUACUUUUAGAUGAUCCUGUUUAUCAGGAUUAAUUAAGUUCAUCUUUACACUCUUGUUUUAUUUUAAUAGUCGGUUUUCUUUUCUUUAUUUAUUUUCUUUUCUAAUAUAUAUAUAUAUUUUAAUGUUUUCUUUUCAUUUGGCAUUUUCUUUUAAGCUUUCCCAGCCCAUCCAGGUGUGUUCUCUCCAACUUUCUUUUUAUUAUUUAUGUUUAUUAUUAUUAUUAUUAUGAUUAUUAUUAUUAUUUCUCUUUCAUUUGUUUGCAUGCAUAUCUUUUGUUUAUGAAACAUUGAGGACAAUGUUCCGAAUAAGUUUGGGGGUGGGAAUAGUGUGUGCUUUGUUUGUUAUUAAAAAAAUAAAAAAUUAAAAAAAAAAUUUCGUGAAAAGCCAAUGAUAAGAACUUGAUUGACAAUGAAUAUAGUUUUUAGAAAGGGUUGAAUAUUGUCUUAGUUUAUACUUGAUUCUUGUGUUAGUUCCUCUUGAUUGAGAUUCUUUAAACCAUGAGCACUAAUAUCAGUUCUUUCAUAAUUUUAACUUGAAAUUUGAGAUUGACGCAGCCUGAGUUGAAAAUUUUAGAUAGAGUAAAUGACUGUUUGUCUUGAUUCUUAUCUCCACAAUACAAAAUAGUAUACACGGGCGCCAAAGUCAGAAAUAGCUACCUAUAACCCUUAAGAGUGAAGCUAUCCUUGAGUAAUUUGGGCCUAUGUACCACAAGUAUGUAGAGGAUAAUCUACCAUGAGAAGAAGGCUACCUUAAGGGGUAGAGUGAAAGCUCCUGACUAUGGUUAAAAAAAAAAAAAAAAAAAAAAAAAAGAGAAAAAGAAAAAAAAAUCAAAUCAAGUGCAUGUGCUGAAAAAAAAAAUCAAAGGAAAGUGCACAUAAAAGCCUGUGAGAGAAAAAAAAAAUUUUGGAGAUCAAGAUGAUAAGAUUAGUUUGACCUACUCUGUUCUUUGUUUGAGGCGAAGGCUGUUGAUGUUGAAGAUUUUGGGAAUGGAUUUGAUUGAAUUGAUUUCACACACACACUACAAGAAUCGAAAGAGAGAUGGGAUUGAUUAUUGAAUUAAAGUUAGAACUUUGCCAAUAUUUGAAAUUUUCUUUGAGCUAUAUAAUUUUUGCAAUCUUUGAGGCUAUUUUGCAUGUUUUAUUUAAAGUUUUUCGUUCUUUUGAUUUAAUUUAAUUUAUUAUUAUUAUUAUUAUUUUUAUUUUUUUUUUUAAAUGAUGUUUGUGGGUAUCAUCACUGAAGCCCUCACGAGACUAUAACUCGUCCACUAGGGCCGCCUAGGGGUUUAAAGGCUUGUUGCAUACGCUAAAUGCAAUCGCGAUUACCUGCGAAAGUGGUUUAGUUCGGAUUUACUUUUUGUUUCAUUAUUUUUAUUUUUUUUUUAUUUUUUUUUUGUUUUAGUUUUGCUCGAGGACUAGCAAAAUCUAAGUUUGGGGGUAUUUGAUGAGCAUAAUUUAUAUACAUAUUUUACCCUUAAUUAUAUAAUUACUAAUUAUUUUUAUUUGUUAUUUUUAAUUAAUUAAAUUAUUUUAUUGAAUAGGGGAUUAAUUGAAGAUUAUGGAUAAAAAAGGAUAUAAGGGAGCUCAAUUUUGGAAGCGUUAAUUAAUUGAUUUUAGAAGCAAUUAGACAUACAUGCAUGUGGAAGUGAAGCCGAGGAAACCGAAGCUAGUAAAUUAAUUGAUCUAGCACAUGAAGAAGAAUUUAAGCAUAACAUUGGCUUUAGCUUAGUUAAGUUACACGUGCAUGGCUUUGUAAUAUUUGGAAAGCAAUUUAAAUGGGACCCGCACUUGGCUUUCAUAAUUGGAAAAGGAAUCCUAAAGCAAUUCCAAAGGUGGUCACGUGUGAGAGCUAAAGGAAAUAAAAGGGCAAGCCUUUUGGUUUUAGGAUUUAAGAGAUGAGGCCCAUUUCAAAGAUUAUAAAAGGGAGUUUUGGCUUUUGGAGAAGGAGGCGGCCAGAGGACAGAAACAAAAGGCUGGAAGAGAGCAAUCGGCAGCAGCAAUAUUUCGGCUUCCCCAUGGCUGAAUUUAUUUAUUUUGUUGCUCCCAAUUCAAGUAUGUCUAGCUAAUUUUCUUAUACUGAGGUUAAGGAUGAAACCCUAUUCAAUGAAAUAAUUAUCUUUUUAUUUAAUUAAUUCCCUAUAUAUGUUCUUUGAUGAUUAUGGUUUUUAUUUCACAUGAUUAAUUGGAUGUUAAUAAAAUCUUUUCAUCAAUUCUGGCGUGCAUUAUUGAUUGUUAGGAUUAAUAUUCGAUUAAUUCUAUGCUUGGAUCUAUAAAGUUUAUACAUGAUUAUCUUUGAUUUUAUGUCUUUCAUUAAAUUGUUUACAUGGAGUGCUUAGGAAACUUUGACUCUUUGUUAUUCAAUAUGUUUACAUGGGAUGCUUAGAUGUCAUAUUAUUAAGCAGAAAAAGAACCUAUAUAAGAUUAAUUUUAUUUGGGCUUAAUUGUUAUAUCCAUGAGAUGACAUAGAUUGAUUUCGAGUUGUCACUCUAAAAUUGAGGAUUAAUUAAUAAUUAGAUAAUUACUAGUUGAAUAGUGGUGGAUUCUGAAACCUUGGUAAUUCUUAUCUCAUUAAAUUCUCCUUUAUUUUAAUUUCCUUAGUUUAAUUGGUUUAAUUUUCUUAAAAAUUCAAUUUGCUCAACUAGGUUAGAAUUAAUAUUAAUUUUAGAUUUAAAUUAGACUUUUUAAUUUAUAACAAUCCCUGUGGGAUCGACCUCGUUACCACUAUUCUAUUUCUAGAUUCGUGCGCUUGCGAGUAUAUUAAAAUUUUCACAACAUAUAUUCAACGAGAAGAGGUAUCGUAUUUGACGGGAAUCUCUUGAAACAGUGCUGAAUUAACAAGUAAUCUUAUUUAAUUUGGUCAACUGGUCAGAUAUGGAUUAAUUAUAUAUUUGGCGUUUGUGCUUUUGACUUUACGAUGGGGUGGAGUCGUGGGGAUAUCAUCAUCCCAACUGAAGACAUAUUAUGAUAUUCUCCUGAAAACCUUGUGAGACUCAUUUACUCUACAAUUUUAGCAUUUUAGGCCCAAUAACUCCAUAUAAAUGACGUUUUGUUCCCUGGCUCCACCUCUUCUAUAUAAAUCCGAACACCUGAAAAAUGACGAGACGGGAACAACUCUCCGUCUUAAGUCUAUGUAAAUUUUACACACAAGAGAAAGAGAGGGAGAGGGGUGGCCAUGAGAGACAACGAUACAGAAAAGAAUAUGGAAAAGAGUUUAUUAAUACCAAAAGAGAGUUUAUCAUCAACAUCCACAACAUGGGAUUUGUUGAGUGGAGAACUGAAAAAGCAGGGUUACAUAGCAGCACCAAUGGUGGCAGUAACUUUAUCACAGUAUUUGCUUCAAGUUGUUUCCAUGAUGAUGGUUGGUCAUCUUGGUCAACUUGCUCUUUCUAGCACCGCCAUGGCCAUCUCUCUAGCUAGCGUCACCGGCUUCAGCGUCCUUGUGAGUCCUACAAUCCAUAUAUAGUUAUAUACACAAGAUUGUUUAUUCUUUCUUUUGAUAGGUAUUUGCAUCAUUGCAUGUGGGAUUUAAACAAAUAGAUAUGCCAAAUUUCUGAUGUUAAAAAACAUGCAAUUAACUAAUACCCUGUUUGUAAAAAUGCCAUUAAUUUUUAAAGGACUUGAUUUGCUCUUUUUUUUAAAAAAAAAAAAUUCUACAGCUAACUUGAAUUGUGUAAUAGUUUCUUUGAAACAGUUAGGAAUGGCGAGUGCUCUGGAAACAUUAUGUGGGCAAGCAUAUGGAGCUCAGCAAUAUCAAAGAAUUGGAACUCAAAUUUACACUGCAAUAUUUUGUUUAUUCUUAGCAUGUUUUCCGCUUUCCUUUCUAGGGAUUUACAUGGGAAGGCUGCUAGUUUUGGUAGGCCAAGACCCCCAGAUUUCACACGAAGUAGGCAAGUUUAUAAUCUGGCUUCUUCCAGCUCUGUUUGCUUAUGCAGCAAUGCAAGCGCUUAUUCGAUAUUUUCAGUCUCAAAGUUUGAUCAUUCCCAUGUUCUUAAGCUCCUAUGCCGCUCUUUGUUUGCAUAUUCCCAGCUGUUGGGCUUUGGUAUUCAAGUCUGGACUGGGAAACCUUGGAGGAGCAUUGGCAAUUGGUAUAUCGUAUUGGUUGAAUGUAACUUUCUUGGCAAUUUACAUGAAGUUCUCCACUGCUUGUGCAGAAUCCAGGGCUCCAAUUUCAAUGGAGUUAUUCCGAGGAAUUGGAGAGUUCUUCCACUUUGCUAUCCCUUCUGCAGUAAUGGUUUGGUAUGUUAAUUAUCUUCUGGAGUUUCAUUUUCCCUUCUCAUAGAUAUCGUAGACACGUCAUAAAUUUUCAUGCAUCUUCUUUCGUUUAUAAUUUUGCAACCUAGAAUGGUGGUCAUUUGAAUUGCUCAUUUUAAUGUCAGGGCUGUUGCCUAACCCACAGCUUGAAACUUCAGUCCUAUCUGUAUGGUAUGUUAACAUAGACUUUGUAUGUGAAAGUUCUAUGCAGAGAAGCACCUACCAAAGGAAAUAGAUUUUUUUUUCUUUUUUUCUUUUUUUUCCCGACUGCUCAUUAUUUGUCAACUUCUUUGGGCAGUCUCAGUACUAUUCAAACCCUCUCUGCAAUCCCAUAUGGACUUGGUGCUGCAGUGAGGUUUGUUCAUAACAAUCAUUUAAAUAAUAAUUGUUUUAUAUCUGUUACAAAAUCAUUGUAAUCCAUCUCCUAUAAUUCCUCUUCUCUGUAUAUUUUAGUUCUAUUUGUAUACGUUACUAGUUGUACACGAUAGACUAGAAUAUUUUGUAAUCCUAGAUUAGAAGUCUGCACUAUUUAACUCCCACGAGUUGGAAUAAAAGAAUUGAGCUGAGUAUUUCCUUUGAAUCUUAUUUCCUCUGUACCAUUGUUUUCUACUUGGUAUCAGAGCUUUGCUCUUAUUAUCGUAUCCGAAUUCUCAUCUGUUCUUUGUACCAUGGCCGAAAGUAAAUCUGAAUCGUCUACACCAAUCAUACAUGUUCAAUAUGAAAACUCAGGCCUCAAAGCUGGUGUUACUCUUACUGAAACUAACUAUGAUGUGUGGUCCCAAAUCAUGGAGAUGCACAUUGCAGGACGUGAAAAACUUGAAUAUAUUAUGGGUGAAACAGAUCAACCAUUGGAGACUGAUGCUUUCUAUACAAAGUGGUAUGCAGAAAAUCAAAAAGUCAAGGGAUGGUUACUGACAUCCAUGUCACCUGAAAUCAUGAAACGUUAUCUCAGAUUACGCACCGCAAGGGAAAUAUGGAAUGCUUUGGCUAAAGCUUUCUACGAUGGGUCAGAUGAAUCACAAAUCUUUGCACUAAAUCAACGAGCUUUCUCUACUAAACAGGUUGGACGUCCCCUAUCAACAUAUUAUGGUGAUCUUGUAGAGAUUUUUCAAGAGCUAGAUUAUCGUGAUAAGGUCAUAAUGAAAGACCCCGAUGAUGUCACUGCAUAUAAAAAAUCAGUUGAACGCUUGAGAGUGUACAUCUUCCUUAAUGGACUAGAUGCAGAAUUUGAACAACUCAGAGGAGAGAUCCUCAGGAAGGAUCCGGCACUAGACUUUGAAGAAACAUAUGCAUAUGUGCGGCGUGAUGCUAUGCGGAGGACAACAGUAAAUGAAGAACUUGAUCAUCAUGAGUCAUCUACCCUGAUAGCUCGUCGAAACAAACAGGGGCGUAAUAACCAACAACUAAAUUCUAGCUCUUCAAAACAGAUUAUUGAUCAACAUCAAUCAUCUGAAACGCAAAAUCGUAGCUAUGAAAUUGGAACGUCAAAAUUAGAGCGUCUGUGCACGUAUUGUGGUGGAACUAGACAUACCAAGUCAAGGUGUUAUGAACUGAUUGGGUAUCCGGAAUGGUGGGAUCCUACUAAAGCACCCAAACGGAACUCAAAGACAAAAAAUCAAGCUUCUCCUGCUGUGGUUAAAUCUUCGAACAACCCUGAGGAAUCUUCAUCUUUAAUUGCUACUUCAGGUAAUAUUGGUAAGACUCUUAAUACCUCUACACCUGAUAGUAAUAGUGCUUGGAUAAUUGAUUCAGGUGUUACGGAUCACAUGACUUUUGACACUGAUCAUAUUUUGUCUAUGAAAUCAUCCAAACAAACUGUAGUAUCCACAACCAAUGGUACUCCCUCUCCUGUCAUGGGAGAAGGUUCAAUUACUCUUACAAAAAAUUUGAAUUUGGAAUCAGUUCUUGUUGUUCCCUCUCUUAACUAUAACCUAUUAUUUGUUGCUCAAAUAACACGUGUUUUGCAUUGUAUUGUGAUUUUUUGGCCUAACCUUUGUGUUUUUAAGGACAUCCGAACUCGAAGGACAAUUGGUUAUGGUACUAGAAAGGGGAAGCUCUAUUAUCUUGAUUUGACUACAGCAAGUUCAGAUCAAUUAUCUCAAGCAUUCACAACUGAAAGAUCGGGCAAAGCACAAAGUUCUGAAAUUUGGUUGUGGCAUAGGCGAUUAGGCCAUGCUUCUUUUGGAUAUUUAAAAAAAUUAUUUCCAAAGUUGUUCUCCCAUUUGGCUAAUUCAAAUUUUAAGUGUGAUAUUUGUGAAAUGGCUAAGAGUCACCGUGUCUCUUUUCCACCUAGUAUGAAUAAAAGUCCAGCACCUUUUAUGAUUGUUCAUUCAGAUGUAUGGGGUCCUGCAAAUGUUUCCUCUUUAAAUGGUGCACGCUGGUUUGUUUCAUUUAUUGAUGAUCACACACGUAUGACUUGGGUUUGUUUGAUGAAGUCAAAAAAUGAAGUUAGUUCUUUGUUCCAGAAUUUUCACAAGAUGAUAGCAACUCAAUAUCAAUCUCACAUAUAGGUUCUCCGCACUGAUAAUAGUGGAGAAUUUGUUAAUCACGAUUUGAAACAGUACCUCACUUUACAUGGCAUUGCUCAUCAGACAACUUGCUCGUAUUCUCCUCAACAAAAUGGGCUUGCGGAGCGCAAGAAUCGUCAUCUUCUUGAAGUCGUACGUGCAUCAUUAUUCGGUGCCCACAUGCCUAAGAGUUAUUGGGGUGAAGCUGUUACAGUUGCAGCCUACCUCAUUAAUCGUGUUCCGUCAAGUUCAUUACAAUUUCAGACUCCUCUCCAUGUACUUCAUGAGACUAUAAGUGUUCCCACCAUGCCGAAUCAGCAACCUAGAGUAUUUGGGUGUGUAGCCUUUGUACAUCUUCACAAAUCCUUGAGAAAUAAACUAGAACCUCGAGCUGUUCGGUGUGUAUUUGUCGGCUAUGGUUUGUAUCAAAAAGGCUAUAGAUGUUAUCACCCUCCAUCUCGUAAAACGUAUACUACACUUGAUGUUACAUUUCAUGAGGAUGAAAUGUAUUAUUCUAUCCCUGAGACUUCAUUUCAAGGGGAGAAUAGAGUUGAAUUGCAGACUCCAGAUUUUUUAGAAGAUUUUACAAGCAAUAGCUAUCGGGAGAAUUGGGAAACUCAAAAUGGAGUAGCUGAUCACACUUUAGAUGGUGAAAAUCCAAUGGAAGUAGUAACGCCAGCCUCUACAUCACCCGAAGUAACGACUUCCUCUCCUCAAUCUGUACCAUUUAACCAAUUGUCUCUCCAACCCGAAUCAAUCUCUGAAACUCAGGUACACUUUGAGCCUCAGCCCCAUUUAAAAGUGUUGCCUGAUCGAGUUACUAGAGGAAUACCUCGACUAAAUUAUGAACCUACUCUUAGCUCUAAAACUAAAUAUCUUAUGAGUAAUUUCGUGUCUUAUCAUAGGUUGUCAAAGGAAUGUGAAUCUUUUGUGAAUCAAUUAUCUGUACUAUCUAUUCCUAACAGUGUGCAGGAGGCUUUGAAAGAUCCUAAGUGGAAGGAAGCAAUGAAUGAAGAAAUGAACUCUCUCCAAAAGAAUUCUACAUGGGAGGUCGUUGAUUUACCCGAAGGAAAGAAACCUGUAGGAUGUAGAUGGGUCUUCACUAUUAAAUACAAAGCUGAUGGAAUUGUUGAAAGGUUUAAGGCCAAGCUUGUCGCCAAAGGGUAUACUCAAACUUAUGGGGUCGAUUACAUGGAAACAUUUGCUCCAGUUGCAAAAAUCAACACUGUUCGUGUUCUAUUAUCUCUAGCCGUGAAUCUUGACUGGCCACUGCACCAAUUUGAUGUAAAAAAUGCAUUUUUGCAUGGAGACCUCCAAGAAGAAGUAUAUAUGGAAUCGCCUCCAGGAUGUAAAAUGCAAGUUGAAGGAAGUAAACAGGUUUGCAAAUUGCGAAAAUCUCUGUACGGCCUAAAACAAUCUCCUAGAGCAUGGUUUGGAAGAUUUACUAGCUCUAUGAAGGCUUUUGGAUAUCAACAAAGUAAUUCAGAUCAUACCCUCUUCUUGAAAUAUAAUAGAGAAAAAAUCAUUGUUCUUAUCGUAUAUGUUGAUGAUAUGAUAGUAACAGGAAAUGAUCCGGAAGAAAAGGCUGCACUACAAGAUCAUCUUGCUCAAGAAUUUGAGAUGAAAGAUUUGGGUUCGCUGAAGUAUUUCCUAGGAAUUGAAGUGUCAAGAUCAAAGAAAGGCAUUUUCUUAUCUCAGCGAAAAUAUGCCUUAGAUUUAUUAAAUGAAACUGGGAUGUCCGCUUGCAGUCCAAUUAGCACUCCUAUGGAAGAAAAUUUGAAGCUAAGCACAGAUCCAAAUCAAGUUCCAGCUAACAAGGAACGAUAUCAGAGAUUAGUAGGCCGACUAAUGUAUCUUGGGCACACCCGACCAGACUUAGCGUAUGCAUUAAGUGUGGUCAGCCAAUUCAUGCAUUCUCCAAAGGAAGAACAUAUGAAUGUUGUUAUUCGCAUUUUACUGUACUUAAAAUCAUCUCCUGGAAAGGGUAUUGUGUUUACAAAAGGCGAUAACUUGGAUAUUAAAGGGUAUACGGAUGCUGAUUGGGCUGGAUCAAUUGAUGACAGGCGUUCUACAUCUGGUUAUUUCACAUUUGUGGGUGGAAAUCUAGUUACAUGGCGAAGCAAGAAACAAGAUGUUGUAGCUAGGUCGAGUGCUGAGGCUGAAUACAGAGGGAUGGCCAAAGGAAUAUGUGAAUUACUAUGGAUCAAUAAUUUAAUGCAAGAUUUACGUAUUCAACAAGUCAGUCCCAUGAAGUUAUAUUGUGAUAAUAAAGCAGCCUGUGAUAUUGCACAUAAUCCAGUUCAACAUGAUCGAACUAAGCAUGUUGAAGUUGAUAGACACUUCAUCAAGGAAAAGCUGGAAGCAAAAAUCAUCGAGAUUCCUCAUGUCCGGUCGAAAGAUCAACUCGCGGAUGUGCUAACCAAGGCGGUAUCCAUCCAAGCCUUUAAUAAGUGUCUCAACAAGUUGGGCAUGUGCGAUAUAUAUGCACCAACUUGAGGGGGAGUGUUACGAAAUCAUUGUAAUCCAUCUCCUAUAAUUCCUAUUCUCUGUAUAUUUUAGUUCUAUUUGUAUACGUUACUAGCUAUACACGAUAGACUAGAAUAUUUUGUAAUCCUAGAUUAGAAGUCUGCACUAUUUAACUCCCACGAGUUGGAAUAAAAGAAUUGAGCUGAGUAUUUCCUUUGAAUCUUAUUUCCUCUGUACCAUUGUUUUCUACUAUAUCAACUAAUUAGCAGAUUAACCAUUAUUUCCUUCUAUAGUACUAGAGUUUCAAAUGAACUAGGAGCUGGGAAUGUGCAAAGAGCCCGUGUAGCUGUCUAUGCUGUGGUCUUUAUGGCAGUCAUGGAGACUAUCAUAGUAAGUGCAUCUCUCUUUGCCAGCCGGCGUGUUUUUGGUUAUGUUUUCAGCAAUGAGGGACAAGUUGUGGAUUAUGUCACAACCAUGGCUCCUCUAGUUUGUUUGUCUGUCAUCAUUGAUAGCUUACAAGGAGUCUUUUCAGGUUAAAUUAACUUCUUCAACUCUGUCAAUUGCUAAAUAGUUCUCUUUAAGUAGAAAUAAAAUUUUUCAGGUUUCUAAAUUCUUUUUAUUAUUUUUAAGGUGUUGCAAGAGGAUGUGGGUGGCAGAAUAUAGCUGCUUUUGUGAAUCUUGGGGCUUAUUAUUUUUGUGGAGUCCCAACUGCUGCCAUUUUGGGUUUCUGGUUAAAGUUUAGAGGAAGGGGCCUAUGGAUUGGGAUACAAGCUGGUGCUUUUACACAAACACUUCUGCUUGGCAUCAUAACAACAUUUACAGAUUGGGAAAAACAGGUCUGUUUCUCAACAUUUAAUCCCUUAAAAAUGAGAGAAGCUUAUUGGACUAUAUAUGUAAAUAUGUAGCAAUUUUUUUUCCCAAUAAGUAUAUGAUGCCUUAUGACUGAAAGUUCAAGAUUAAAAUCACUCAGCUUGAUCUGAAAUGGUUAGUAUUAUCAUCUUAUGCAGAAAUGGUUUUGCUCAUUGAGAAAAUGAUAUUCAAUAACACAAAUGCAAACUCAUUUGAAAAUUUUGCCAUUGAGAAAAUGAUAUUCAAUAACAGACAUGCAAACUCAUUUGAAAAUUUGCUUUUUUGCAAGAAUUAUAACCAUUUUCUAGUUUGUUAAUUGUUACGUCUUCUGUGUUUCUAAGGGGUUUCUCAUGUUGCAGGCAAGUAAAGCAAGGAAAAGAUUAUCAAAGGGAAGAUCUUUAGAAGAAAAUAGAAUAGUUUGUGAGUGAGCAGAGUCAAUCAAUGAGCUGAUAUAUACAUUUUCCAGUUGAAAGAGAUAAUCAUUGCUUGAGAAAAUGAGCUGAUCAUAUGUCAAUCGAUGGCCAAGAAGGUUCCCCAAUCUGAUCUACGGAGCAUGGCAUUUCAUAAAACUCUGUUUCUAGAGAAAAAAAAAAAAAUUAACAGCUUCUUAGGAUUGGAGCAUCAGGUGACUUAGCAUUUCCAGUAUGAAUGAAUUAUAAGAUAGAUGAUGCUGCAAAAAUGAAUAGAGAUAAAAUUAAGCAAGAGAAAAUGUUUGAAUGUUAUUAUUGAAACCUUUUCCAGUGAUUGUAGAGAUAAUUUUCUUUGUAUUGAAACUUUCAGCAUCUGAAAGAUAAGGAAAAUAUUAAAAGAAAAAAGAAAAUUCUUAAAUCUUUUCCAUGUCACUCCAGCAAAGUUGAAUUGUGAUUCUAAACCCUACACCAAAGUGUAAGGUGGCCUGUGGCCUAUAGGUAAUACACAAUUUGACAACCCCAUAUAUUUAGUAAUCUAGGUGGAUGCCAUUAAUUUUUUUUUUUUAAAUUUUUGUUCAUUUUUAAUGCAAACAACGCCUCUUUCAUUGAGGCAUUGGAAUAUAUAAAGAUUUGUAUACUGAUUUUGGACCAUAAUUCACAAAUAAUGCGACGCAUAUCUUUCUUUCAGUACUUCUUCAGGAGGAUAAGAUACAGACAUUGUUGUCUUUUUACCUGAAGCAAGUGCAUGUGCAUGAAUUGUUGUUGUCUGUUAAUCUGCUGCCACUUUGCUGCCAAAAAACUUGAAAAAUAAACCAGGAAAAUUUUCAAUAAGCAAAGCCAAAACUUUUAAACACUCAAAUAAAGCACAUAAGUAAAGUAUUUCUGUCACAUUAGCUUUCGAGUGAGGUUUGAUUUACAUUUAUAUCAUAUAUACCAAGUGUUUUUUAUUCUUUUAAUUAAUUUAUAUCACAGCUUGGAAAUUCUAAAAAUUAAUCAUGCUUAAUCUUGAGCAACAAUAUCUGUAAUCAUCAUACGAGGUCAAAAGUGAGGAAAAAAAAGGAAAAGAAAAAGCAAGAGUUAGUUUUAUGUAUAAAAGUGAAAGGAUCUGUUAUACAGUAUUUCUGUUGCAUGGUUUUCGGAGGCAUAGCAUUGUCCACAGCAUUUGGGCUUUGCUUCUGAUUCAAUGGCAUUUAGAAUUUGGUUUCAUCUGAGAUCAUAUAUAGCUUGAUCCUGAUAUCUUCCAUUUUGGAGGCAUUCAGUUAAAUUGAAGAAGUUUGAUGUUCCAGUUCAAAUUGGGAUUGCUGAAGAUAAUAUAUAUAAUUCUGUAGAGGUUUUCUAAUUUUUAUUUUUAGUAAUGUAUUCAUGUCCUGUCAUUCUUCUUUCUGCUUAAAUCCAAUUGCCCAUGUUGGAAUUUCUUUUCAGCUUUUGUAUUCUUUUUCCUUUUUGUUCAAUAAUGCUAUAGACGAUGCUCUACCAUUUAAAAGAUAUAAAUAACAAAUUUUAUAAAUUUUUACUUCGUCAAGGUGUGAAACCUUAUAAAAUUUAUAAAUUUAACUUAUGAACAGAGAAGCAUAAAAAAAAUGUUUGGAGUUGCUUAAUACCAUAGAAACAAAAGCAGAAAGAGAUGUUCAAGAACAAAACCCAAAAAUUUUCAUCAAGUGGAGCAUCGAUCAUGCCAGCAUAAUAACAUAAUUACAUAAUGCUCGAAGAGCACGCAUGACUUUCUCAAAAAAUAAUAUCACUUAAAUGAUCAAAAAACAGAAAUAAUUAAUUGAUUAUCCAUAUAUAUAAACAAGCCUAGCUCUCAAUGUGAAAUAUAUUAAAUCAGCAACUAUAAGAUUUUCGGUGAUGAUAUUUCCACCCCAUAAAUUUUAUAAACCCACCCAUUUUUUUAAAAAAAAAUUAUUAUAAUAAGUUCACAUCAUUUUUUUUAAAUUUAAAUUAAGAAGAAAUUAAAAAAUUAAUCAAUUAAAUCUAUAUUCAUUUCUUUUUUUUUUAAUUAUGUUUCUUUAUUAAAUUUCAUCAAUAAGGUUGCUUUAACAUAAAUUAAUAUGACUAUUUUACCCUUAUAAGGUAAAAGUACCAAAAUAUCUAAAAAUUCACUUUAACUUUAAUAAAAUUUUAUGCAAUUUUUUUUAAUAUUUUAAUGAUAUAUAAGUAAUUGUUAGUACAAUUAUUAUUUCUCCACUAAACUAACAAAAUAUAAUUAGGACAUGUGGUGGAAUGAAAAUAAUUAAAUUUUAUAUAAAAACCUAAGCAAUUAGUUACGAUAAAUAUAUAUAUAUAUAUAUAUAUAUAUAUAUAGUAAUUUGGUUAUUUUAUAUUAUAAGGGUAAAAUAGUCAAAUUAAAUUUAUCUUGAGGCAACCUUCAAAAGUUAAAGAUUGUUAAAAGCUUAAGUCCAAAAAAUAAAAAUAAAAAUAAAAUUAUAAAAUUGAUUUAAUUAAUUAAUUAUUCAAAGCUUUUAUUAAUUUGUAAUUUUAUAAAAUAAUGUAAAUUUAUUGUAAUUAUUUUAUGGAGGUGGAGGGGGUUUAUAAAAAUAGUGGGGUGGAAAUAUUCACACCCUUCAAUUAAUAGUUAGGAUAAUUUUUAGAUACUUCCCCUAAAGUUUGGCUUUGCUUCACUUUUAGAUCAUUUUUAGAGAGAAUGUAUCUAUCUAUUGACAAGAGUGAUGAUACAACCAUAAAUUUUUAUACAAAUUUAUCUUGUAUAAAUUUAUUUGUCAUUAAUUCAUUGGUUGAAUAAAAAUGUAAAAUAAUAAAAAUAUAUCAUGUGGGUCCAGAGAUAUUUAAUUCAAGUAAUUUCAUCAUAUCACAUCAAUUUAUACAAAAUAAAUUUAUACAAAAAUUUAUAACAUUAUUAUCUAAUGGAUAAUAUACCCCUUGUCCGUGUAUAUAAGGGAUAGGCACUGAUUAAGUAGUUGCAGUAUUUUUUUUUAAAAAAUCUUACAAAAGCUAUUAUACUGUAACUAAUCAGCUAGUGAAACCCGAGGGGAUAGUAACCCAUUUUCAUUGUCAAUGCCUAGCUUCAUUUUUUUUUUUUUUUUCUCACUUGAUGAGUGCUUACCUUCAUUUCGAAGGUCGUGACACCAACUGAUUUUAGCAAAAGCAGAGAUACUUUGUGAUGCAGUAAGCUAACAAGUUUCUGAAAUCAACUAUGUUUUGAACCAAAUUUCGACGACGACCAGCAGCUGAAAAGCCGGUGAUUAAAGGGCACACUAGGUGCGUAAUUCUAUCAAAGCAUAAAACUGAAGUUAGGUUUUAUUAUUUUCUUGCAUUUUGUUGAAAAUUGCUGUUAGUUAGGUCCUUUAUUCUUUGUUCCCAUUAAUUGAGAAAAAUGUUUAGGGUUUAUAGAAAUUGAAGUAGUGACCGAAUAUAUCUGAAAUGAUUUUUGAGUUGAUAGUCAUUCGAAAUGUUGUGUAAACCAUGCAAAUGAUUUAUUUUUUGAUGAUUUUGGACUGUGGGUUUUGAAUGCUCACUGAAAUUUGCUUGAUAUGUUCUUUAAAUUGAGAAAAAUCCAAGCUUCUUCUAAGAAUACAGAGGUGUUGCUGAGAAAAUGCUUAUGGUGUUGUUUUGUUUCUUUUUUUAUUUUACAAGUGGGCAGUUCAUGUAAGAUUGAGACAGUUGCUCUUGUUGCUUUUUGAUGUUUUGUAUAGACUGAUUCCAAUCACUGAUUUCUGUUGGUAAAUGGAUGCUAUUUUUUUUUUUUCCUUUCUUCACAUAAAAAUUUGUACUUCCCAACAUAAAAUUCAGAUGCUUGCCUAUUGUUUUUUGAGGUUCUCAUUAAGGUGUAAGAGAUAAAUUAAUUAUAGAGCUUGUAGGCAGUUGGUUUAUUGAAGAACCAGUACAGUUGAGAAAGUGUCUUUUGGGACAUCCAUUUUAAUACACAGAUUAACAGAUUUAAUUACAUAAACACAAGACUUCAUUUGUUUAUCAAAGUAGUACUUUUGAUGCUUUCGUAUAAUGAAUGCCAAAGAGAUGACAUUUGCAAAAAGGCCAUUUGAAUGUACCAAUUGCUAUCCUUGUAAACCUCUAUUGUGAUUCUGUUAUCAUUAUAUGUUGUUUAAUGAUCUGAUGAUUUCGAGAUAUCAAGAUGAGUUUAUGGUAGUACAUGUUCAUUUAGCUACUUUAGGUACUAAUACAUGGAUUUAUUGUAUAAUGCCUACUUAGCAGCCAUAACUACACUCAUUGUUGAAGCUACAGCAACACAAAUGAGAAAAAACAUGCUGAGGAACAACAUUGUCUUUAUAUCAUUGCAUUUUACUCCAUUUACAAAUCUUGUUUGAAAAUCGAAUGAAUUUAAAAUAUUAUCGUUUAUUGUUUUUUUGUAGCAUUUACUAAUCUUCUGAUAUUCAGUAUUGUUUUUAUAUAAAUUAAUUUAAAAUAUUAUCAUUUAUUUAUCUUAUUAUGUGAUUUUACACUAUCAAAUUAUUUGUUUUAAGGGGCAUUUUGGUCUUUUCAGCACUCAUUUGAGUUUUGUCUUAUUAUAAGAAUAUGUAAUGUCAACAGCAAUUAUCAUAAGAGUAUAAUGGCCUUUUCACUGCUCUACAAACCCCCCCCUCCAACCCCGCGGCCAAAAACAAUUUCGCCCCAAAUAUAAAGAUCAUCUACCGUGUCCAAUAAUUUUGGCAUUCAUUGAAAUGUGUACUGAAGGGCAUUAUUGUAUAUUCACUCAACUACCUAACGGGUGCCUAACCUUCAUACAUGGCCGGGGGGUAUAUUGUCAAUAUAUGGAUACAUUCUCUCUAAGUGUAUCAAAGCCAAACCUCAGGGGAGGUUUCUAAAAGUUUUCCUAAAUAGUUAAUAAUUUUGUACAACAGAUUCCUGGAUACGCCUCAAGUUCACUGAUUCUACGUUAUGGCUGACUUUCAAGAAAUUAAAUUCUACAUUAUGACCCCCAGUGAAACAUUGUCGCCGAUAAAAUUAUAAAAUAUAUGUGUAAUAGUAGUCAAACCUAAACCUACGUCGUUUAGCAAUUUACAAAAUGAGAAAGACGACAAAAGCCAGGUGUUGGACCGGCAACGAGCCAACGAGAUAAGCUCAAGUUCACUGUGUUUUUUAUGAACCCUCUGAAGACCCGAAACUCUGGGUUUGUUUUUUACGUUCCCUAACUGUUUGACUACAUUUUUAUUCUUUGCUACAUUCGUUAUGAACUGUUCAGGCUAAGUGCUCGACGAAAUUCCUAAGUGAGUAUGUAUAAUGGUUUGCUCUUGUAUUUAUUCUGUUAUAGAAGGUUUUGCUUUGGGUGGUUAAAUAGAAGAGACUAGACAUUGAACUUUAUGCACUUGUAUGUUUUCAAGUAAUUGGUUGUUCAGGGACAUGUACUUUGAAUUGCUUCAUUCAUCUUCAGAGAUAUCAUAACUUUUGUUGUUAAUUUGUCCAAAGUGAAGGCUUUUUUAACUUUUAUUUCUUUGAUUUAUUUAUUUAUUGGUGUAUCGAGGUUCUGUGUCUAAACUUUUAUUUGAUAAGUUCUUUCAGACUACUAAUUAGAAGAAAAAAGUGCUAGAGAGUGAGUAUGAGAGGGAAUGAUGUUUGGGCAAGGGGUGAUUGGUUCACUUGGCUCAUUAAGAACCCCAACUAUAAUGGCAUGUAUCAAUUUCGCAGCCUAAUUGGCAG